UGCUAAAUGUGUUAGGCAUCUUGCUGGCUCCUGUUAUAGUGUUAUUACAACGAAACUUGAGUUCCUAUAGAAAGUAUGUACAAAUUUUCUAUACAAUAACUUCAUUGCAUCUUUUAAGAGAAGCAUAAGUGGCAACCUUAUGAAAACCAUAUACAGACUAUUAAAAAUGGUACUAGAAUCCUGUGAAUUAAUUGAAACAAAUAUCAAGCUCCAUGUGUUAUGAAACUUGUGCUUCCCUUUUAUAGUCCUUCAUUUUUUAUCACUAACUUUUAGCACCGGAAGACCAAGGCAUUAUUAUACUAGUUAUCACGUGCUUCAACAAAUUCAGUCAUCUGUCCAUGUUGAUUUCAUCUUGCAAACUCUAUGCUCAUCGAGGCUUUCUUCUGGAGGAUGUAAUAAUCUGUGCUUUCUUCACUAGUAUAGUCACCCGAUGAAUUGUCAGACGACCGUCCCUGCAUCAUGAGUGCACUAACACCAUGAAACCCUUGAGUGCGAGGUGGUACUGGACGUGCCAAUCGCUGGAGUUCCUCUGCUACCUCUCUCAUCAUUGGCCUGUGUUGACCUUCCUUUAUGCUCAGCUGAGGCGAGCUCAUCUUCCCCGUUCUGCGAAUCACCACCGAAUCACGGCGUCCCUUGUGGUGGAACCGUCCAACUUAAACUGAUUUAAAUGCGCCUAAUUGCUGCCGACGCAGCAAUUAUUCGAAACGCACUUAAAACAGUAUAAGUCCGGUCGUCCGUCGAGUGUCCCUAGGACUCCUCGAAAGAUCCACGUUGUGUCUCGUAGCCAUACAUCAGGAUAGUAUCCGCGAUGGGAUAGCAUCAACAAAUAUUACAUUUUUACAUACAUACAAGAGGUACGAGUUAUUACAAGACUUAGUUUGAAGCAAACUUAAUAGUGCAGUGUUAGACAGAGUUCUAGGACUUAAAACAUAAACGGUUCAGAUGGAGAUGAGCAUUAAAAAAAACUUCUUCUAAGGGUAUUGUGAGACUCAUAACAAUACCCUAGGGCUUCGGGGCUUCCUCCUCGGUGGACUCCUGCGGUGCUUCUGAAAAGAUAGCCACAAGGGAUAACCCUGAGUACGAGGUACUCAGCAAGUCUUACCCGACUAACCAAUAUAAUAGCUUUUCUUUGGAAGUACAUGAUAGCUUUUUGGUGUACUUGGCUGAUACAUUUUUGCCGAAAAGCUUACUACAAGUGAUGCCUUAGUUUUAUCUUUUAUUUGGGUUAAGUCAUUACCUAACCAUUCUAGAUGAUGAGAAGAAAGUAAACGCAACCAUAGAUAUUAAGUCAUACAUCAAACAUUAUCAGAAAGAUAUGCCAUUCAUGAAUUUAUGCUACGAUGCUCAACAGUGAUCAAGUGCAUUCAUAACCGAGAAUUGCGGCGAUCCGGAUCAAUUUACAUCCUGCAGGAGAGUACCCCGAUCACCAGUUAUAUACGACUGUCCAGGUCGUACACAACGACCUUUCGAUUAGCAAAAUCAAUGAUUGGGAAUAAGACUACCCGGACCCAGGGACGCACCCCCACAUGGGACCCCAUGUCUGGCCCGAUCACCAUGUGAGUUUCAGGCUACACCCCUGCCAAUCUCCAGCACGUCAAGCGCGGGUACGAAGUAUUCCCGAUCAGAGAGUUUGCUAACCUACUGGGCUUUACUGGUCCCAUACCCAGUAAGUGAUCAGAUGAUUAUCACUUGAUCAAAGGUUAAGACAACGAAUCGGGCCUUCACCACAUUAAUCUAGCAGACAGAACUACAUCUCUAGCUUCUAUCCGCUUCUCAAUUCCAAGUCAUCUUCCCAUAAAUAACAUGUAAGACUCAAAAAGUUUUCCUUAAGGUUGGUAAACCAAGCAUUGAAGCAACUAAGCAUUUCUAGACUUGGGAUACCUACUAGGGUUUGAACAAGUGGCAAAGAUGUCCUUAGAACAAGGUAUGAUCAUGCACAAGAAUAGGUUUCAAGCAACUCCUAGACUUAAUGCAUACAUAUAGCAAAUAACUGAAUAUAGGACACAUGAAAUAUUGACUUCAAAAUAAUAGGUGUAAUGCACCGGGGCUUGCCUUGUUCGCUUAAAAAGUUAGUACUGUCCGACGGGUUGGCCUCGCAGGGGACCAAUUCAAAGACUUCUUCAAACUCCGAAGGUCCUUCUGAAAAUUCCAAGUAAUCUCCUUCUGGUGCUUCGGGGUCUAUAGCACAACACAUGCAGGGGUUAGGAAUGCAAAUUUUUGAAUAAAAGACUAUACAACUUUCCUUCAUGAUAAAGUUGCUAGCCAACAAGGACUAUACAAUUUAUCAUGAUAAAGUUGCAAGCCAACACACAAAAACCCAAAAAGAUUAGCCCAAAAUUUUUAUUUUCUUACCUAACCUUACUCAAGGCCUUUCUUUUAUUUUUUUUGAAAAGGUUAUAAUUAUUUUCUAACUUGAAAAACUAAUUUCCUAUGAGUUGAGAAUAAUUUGUGAUUACGAAAAUGUUAUUCCAUAUUUUAUACAUUUUAUAAAGAUUAAGUAUUUAUUUAAUUACCUUAAAAGAAAGGCAUUAAAUGAAUACCUAAAUUUUUAUAGUUUUCCUAGGGUAUAAAAAUUUUAAUGCAUAAAGGAAAAUAAAACAAGCCUAACAAAAUUGGUUUCACUAAUUUUGGACACUCCUAGAAAUUUCUGUGAUUUAAAUGGUGGGAUUCCAAUUUAAACUAAUUAUUCUAUAAAGGAAAUCCAAAUUUUCCCGAAAAACACCCCCGGCGACUUUUCUCACGCGGCUCGACUCUACCCCCUCUCACUUGCGCUGGGCCCGUGACGCGGACCCACCCCUUCUCCUAUUCCUUCUACCCGCCGGCCUCCUUUUACCCCGGCCGGGCCCUAUUGGGCCGAUUCCUCUUUCCCCUUCUUCUCCUUUCGCUCGCGACGGCCCAACGGCCCUGUUUUCUUUUUCUUCGUUUCCUCGCGAGCGCGGUCUGCUGGCUCCUCUGGGCCUCCGGCCUUCCUCUCCACGGUCGACCGCGCGCGCUCCCGGGCUUUCAAGGCCGCGGCCCAACUGGCCUCCGCGUCCGGCCGGCCGACUCCCUCUCCCUCUCUUCCCUACUGACGCGCGGGCCCAAGGCGCCAGACUCUUCUUCCUCCUCCCGCCAAAACUCGCGCGUGACAGGGGGCGGUGUGGCUCGCCGGCCGGCGCCCUACCGGCGGGGGAACUAGGUCAGGAAAGCACCUCCGUGCCCUCACACACCCGUGCGUGGCAACAGUUCCUCGGGAGAUGGCCGGAGCCAUUCCCUCCACGGCGGCGGGCGGCGGCACCUACGGCCGGUCGCGAUUACGCACGACAACGGCGCAAACUACCCCGACGACUACCACGACACCAUCCUAGCAUCCUAAGGACCUGCUUAAGGCUACCCAAGAAGGAAGAGAACAAGCGCAAGGGGGUGCUCACCGUGAGCGGGAGGUUUAAGGCGUACCGGCGGAGAGGCUGGGCAACAAGCUGCUAGGGUUGCUGGUGGGGUGUGGGUGGAGGUGUGGACGGAGGGAAUCGACGGGAGCUGCGGUGUGGUGGGAGUAUUUUGCUCGGCGGCGGCGGCUUGGACAGAGGAGAUGGCGGCGGUAAAAAGGACAGCGGUAGAAACGGCAGCGCGGGAGCGGUAGUUAUUCAAGCUUUCACCGCGCGCAUGGGCGACACCGUGGCCUACUCGUAGGCUUGCGUGGUGAGGAGGUGGCGUAGCUGCCGCGCUGGCGAGCGACCGACGACGGCGGUGGCGACACGUCCUGCCUGCUCUGUCAUCGUUCCCCCCCUUUUCUUCUGACGCCCGAAACUUCAGAGCUCCACCACGGCCGAUUCCAAAUCCGACGGUGCAUAUGUGUCUUAAGAAAAGUUGUAGAUAAUCUCGAGCUUUCCAAGUCAUAUAUAAACCUUUGCCCGAGAUAAACAUCCAAAAGUCUCCAAAUUUAAAUUUUUCUCGGGCAAAUGACUGAACCCUUUUUCCCUUCCAUUCAGUUUCGUCAGUCACUCGAUGUGGUCAUGUGCCCGACUUAGUGAAUCAUUUCGGUGCUCCAAAUCCUCUUUCUGUAGUCCAACUUCUACCCAAUUGUGUUCUACCAUCUUCAAGGUUUCCAUUUUGCCCAAAAACACCUACCUCUUUUGAUCUACAUUCCUCUGAAAUCCAUUUCAAAGUCGGCCACACACUGCUGUCUUCAGACUUAGUCAUUUUCAGUGAUGCAAUUACAGUGACGAGAUGCUGACUUUAGGCCUUCAUUUGAAAUAGCUCCCUCUGCUAUUCUUGAUCAAAAACACCCAAAUCUAGUAGUCCAAGGUCCACACUUUAAUAUGGUGUAGUUGUUCUGAUUUACUUAUUUGAAAAAUUCAUCAGAAAUCAAUUUUGAAAAUGGACUCUGCUGCUGUUUUCUGAAUUUUCCUAUUGUCAGAUGGUGAAUAGUGCACUUCGGUUUUAUUUGCUUUCUUUGAUUCUUUUGAGAUAUCUAGGACCAAUUCUGUUCCAAUUUCUUGAUCCUCAAGUUCUAAUCACCCUUACACCUUUAUUCCAUAUUUUUGACGAAUUUUUCUGAAUUUCAAUUCAAAAUUCAAAUUUCGGUCAAAUUUGACCUGAAUUUGAUUUUUGGCCAAUUUCUUUUUAUUUUCUUCUCAAAUUGCUUCCAAUUUUUCAAAGUCACUUUGGUGACUAAAAUGGCAAGGUAUUACAUCCUCUCCCCCUUAACAGAAUCUCGUCCCGAGAUUCCCGGGGUGAAAUCCUCGGCUUUGAGAAUGGAAAGGAAACUGCAUCAGGUCAACUAUUUUUCUCUUUUCUGUACAAGGAUAGUGGGGUGGUGGCUUUUGUUCAUCUGUCCCUGAUGGUUUCAAACAAUUCAGGAUAUUUAGACUCUAGGUCUUCAGCCUGUUCCCAAGUAGCUUCAUCCGGAGUAUGAUUUUUCCAUUGUACCUUGUAAAAGGUGAUACUCCGAGUUCGGGUAUCUCUUGUCUUUUGAUCCAGAAUUUUAAUAGGCCUUUCUUCAUAGGUUAGAUCUGGUGCGAGCUUGAUUUCUGGAUCUUCUAGAGUUUCUUCUGGAACUCUUAAACACUUCUUAAGCUGGGAUACAUGAAAUACGUCAUGUAUAGAAGUAAGUUGGUCUGGUAAUGACAGCUUGUAUGCCACUGGACCCUUUCGUUCCAGAAUCUCAUAAGGACCAAUAUAUCUUGGGGCUAACUUACCCUUUAUUCCAAAUCGUUGUACUCCUUUCAUCGGGGAUACCUUUAAGUAUACAAAAUCUCCGGUAUGAAAUUCCAAGGACCCUCUCCUUUUAUCCGAAUAACUCUUUUGUCGGGACUGGGCUAUUUCCAAAUGUUUGCGAAUUUUCUGGACCUUUUCCUCGGUUUCCAUAACCAGAUCUGAUCCCAAAUGUGUUCUUUCUCCUACUUCUGACCAAUUCAAAGGGGUUCGGCAUCUUCGACCAUACAGGGCUUCGAAAGGUGCCAUUUUAAUGCUAGCUUGAUAGCUAUUAUUAUAGGAGAACUCGGCUAGGGGCAAACAUUCGUCCCAUAGCUUAGAGAAGGUAAGGACACAUGCUCUCAACAUGUCUUCCAAGAUUUGAUUAACUCUUUCUGUCUGUCCUCCAGUUUGAGGCUGAUAGGCAGAACUUCUAAUUAGAGUAGUGCCCAUGUCCUUUUGCAACUGUUCCCAAAAUCUGGAAACAAACUGGGAACCUCGAUCAGAGAUAAUUGUCUUUAGUACUCCGUGCAAGGAUACGAUCCGGGCUAUGUAGAGUUUAGCAUAUGUCGACACCGGAUAGGUAGUCUUGACGGGAAUAAAGUGAGCUGACUUAGUAAGGCGGUCGACAAUAACCCAUAUGGAAUCAUACCCUUUUGAAGUGGUAGGAAAUCCAACUAUAAAGUCCAUGGAAAUAUCCUCCCAUUUCCAGACAGGGAUUUCUAAGGGUUGAAGUAAACCUGCCGACUUUUGUAGUAUGGGCUUAACUCUUCGGCAAGUAUCACAUUCAGCUACAUACCUUGCAAUUUCAGGUUUCAUCUUGGCCCACCAAAACCUUUGCUUUAAAUCUUGGUACAUUUUAUUGCUUCUGGGAUGAAUAGCAAACUUAGAUAGAUGUGCUUCUUCUAAGAUCAACUUUCUUAGACUUUCAUCCUUAGGAACUACUAUCUUUUUCUUGAAGUACAGUCCUCCAUCUUCUUCUUGAUUGAGUUCGGGGAUCUUCCCUUCUGCUUUUUGUUGAUAGAGUAUCUUAAUCCAUGGAUCUUCUUUUUGGGCUGUUAUAAUUCUUUCCUUUAAGGUAUCUUGUAUCAUAAUAUUCUGAAGGGUGCCUUGUUUUACUAUUUCCAAACUCAAAUCUUCCAUUUCCUCACAUAAGUCUUAAGGUUAGACUGGACGGUAGUGCAGUGGCAUUGGGCCUUUCUGCUUAAGGCGUCAGCCACCACAUUAGCCUUACCAGGAUGAUAAUGGAUUUCUAAAUUAUAGUCUUUAAUCAGUUCCAGCCAUCGUCUUUGCCUCAUGUUCAAAUCCAUUUGAGUAAAGAUGUACUUCAAACUUUUGUGGUCAGUAAAGAUACGACAUUCACUACCCAAAAGAUAGUGUCGCCAUAUCUUUAAUGCAUGCACUACGGCAGCAAGCUCUAAAUCAUGGGUAGGGUAAUGCUCUUCAUGACGCUUCAGUUGACGAGAAGCAUAAGCAAUAACUCUGCCUUCUUGCAUAAGAACACACCCUAUGCCUGUUUCAGAGGCAUCACAGUAUACAUCAAAGGGCUUCUCUAUAUCCGGUUGAGCUAACACCGGGGCUGUAGUUAGCAACUUCUUUAAGACUUGAAAUGAUUCUUCACACUCAGGUUUCCAUUCAAAUUUUACUUCUUUCUUCAAUAACUCUGUGAUUGGUUUGGAAAUUUUUGAGAAAUUGGGAAUGAACCUACGGUAAUAACCGGCCAUUCCCAAGAAACUUCUUACUUCAUGAAUAGAGGUUGGUGAUUUCCAAUCCAAUAUAUCCUUAACCUUUCCGGGAUCUACUUCAAUUCCUUUUUUGGACAAUAUGUGCCCAAGGAAUGGAACUUUCUUUAACCAGAAUUCCCAUUUACUGAACUUGGCAUACAACUGAUGUUCCCGGAGUCUAUUUAGAACAAUACGCAAGUGUUGCGCAUGUUCCUCUUCAUUUUUAGAAAAGACAAGGAUAUCGUCUGUAAAGACGACCACAAAUUUAUCUAACUCUGGCAUGAACACUGAAUUCAUGAGGUACAUAAAAUGCGCUGGGGCAUUUGUCAGUCCGAAAGACAUAACCAAGUAUUCAUACAGUCCAUAUUGGGUUGAGAAGGCUGUUUUAGGUAUGUCUUCGGGUUUUAUCUUAAUUUGAUGGUAUCCUGACCGAAGGUCGAUUUUUGAAAAGACCUUGGCUCCAGCUAAUUGGUCAAACAACAAGUCAAUCCGUGGUAACGGAUACUUGUUUUUAAUGGUUACCGCAUUCAAAGGGCGGUAAUCCACACAUAACCUUAAUGUGCCAUCCUUCUUUUUAACAAAUAGAGUAGGGCAGCCCCACGGUGAAGUGCUAGGUCGGACAAAACCUUUGUCCAACAAUUCUUGGAGUUGUAUUUUCAAUUCUGCUAACUCCUUAGGUGGCAUUUGAUACGGUCUUCUCGAGAUAGGAGCGGUGCCUGGUUCUAACUCAAUGGUAAACUCUACCGCUCUAUCAGGCGGUAGUCCAGGUAGAUCUUCUGGGAACACAUCUAUAAACUCAUUAACCACAGGAAUAGAUUCUAGAGUCACUGCUCUAGUCUUUUUGACCAUCUGGUCCAAACAAGGAUGAGCGGGUAAUUGGAGCUCGAAUGGGUGGCCUUGGUCAUCUUUCAUACUAACGAUCCGAUUAUCCAUAUCGAUUUGAACUUUAUGUUCCUUCAUCCAAUUUACCCCCAAAAUAAUAUCUAUUCCUUGAUCUUCCAGAAUUAAAGGAUAAGCACCCACCUUAUUUCCUUCUAGGUUUAAAAUCACAUUGCGAGUUACUUGAUUUGUAUUCUGUGUAGCUCCAGUAGCUUGAAUAGCAUACUUGACAUUUAAUGUAUGUACUUCUAGUUGGUGUUGCGUAACAAACCUUCUACUUAUAAAAGUAUGUGAUGCACCCGAAUCAAAUAAAACCAUGGCAGGAUAAUUGUUAACAAGGUACAUACCUGCCAGAAUAGGCUCUCCUUCUGGAAUUUCCUCCACAUUCAUAUAAUGAGCUUGUCCUGUCUUGGUGUUCACAAAUUUGCGACGGACAAACUUCUGCCCAGUGCCUUGACCCGAAGUUUGAGCCCUCAAAUUUGCGUUUCCCCCAACCUUGGGAAAACGGCAGUCCUGGGCAAAGUGUCCCGGCUUCCCACAGUUAAAGCAAACCUGUGGAUUCCCUGGAGGAGUAGGGUUACGAAACCCAAGAGGUGGCGCAUUUCCAGGACGAGGAGCAUUACUGGGAGCUCUGACAUUCCAGGGCUGGAAGGAUCUCUGCUGAAAUGAAGGUCGAUACACAGGUCGAGGAGGACCUCGAUAUACCACCUUCAUUCUUUGUGGAGCACUCCCAAAGGUUCCAAAAGGAAUAUUCUUCCUUUUCAAAGCUUCCUCUUUCCUUAGGGUUUCAUCUAGAAUUCUCAUCUUUUCUUCUACGGUAAUGGCUGUACUUACCGCAGAGCUAUAGUCGGCAAAGGUGCAGGUGGACAACUUCUCCUGCAUUCUUGCAUUGAGCCCACGAAGAUAACAAUCUCUUUUUCUGGACUCGGUAUUGACAUGUUCUGGUGCAUAUUGGGCUAAGUGGUCGAACUCAUUGGUAUACUCAAGAAUGUUGCGGUUCCCUUGCUGGAGUCCUAAAAAUUGCUCCAGUUUCAUUCGCAUGAUACCUUCCAGCACAAACUGUGUCCUGAAGGCUUCCUUAAAGUUCUCCCAUGUAACCUCCCUUCCAACUGGCUGCCUAGCCAGAUAGCUGGUCCACCAGGUCCCAGCGGGACCUUGAAGCUGGAGUCCUGCAAACUCUGCCUUUUGAGUGGUGGUGCACUGGGGGAUUACUCAAAACUUCUGUUCCAUUGUUUGAAGCCAUUCAUUAGCUUCAAGGGGAUGCUCAGCCUUCAAAAAUAUUGGAGGACGAGUCUCCAGGAACUGGGUGUAGGAUACACCCCGCUCUGGAUCCCGCCGAUUUCCAUCGUUACCAGUGUUCUGUACGAUCAUUUGAAGUAAUCGAGCCUGUUCGGCCCCGGAGUUCAUAAGGCUGGCUAUAGCAUCUGCCAGCGUUGGAGCUCUCGGUAAAUUCUCCUCAUGGCCCCCUGACCCUGAAGCUCGUGGACCUCUUGGAUCCGUCAUGCUAUCAAGAGUAAACAAAACAUUAAUAUUUAGGGUGCAUUUUAUCAACAGUUCCCUGCACACUAAUAUUUCACACAUCACAACAUGACCAUACAUAAACCACACUUAUACACAUAUUUAUUUAUAGUACAUGAUUUGAAGUUACUCUUUACAAAACCAUCGUGCUACUCUGUCCAUCACAUGUAUCUUACAUAAAUAUAUUACAACAUCUCUUAGAUAAGGUCUCGCUUCAACCAUCGUAAGGGUAGAUGCCUAGUUCUUCGGCAUUCAGUCCUAGUCGGGCCAUUGCUGCUUGUAGAAUAUCUUGCUCCACUGUCAUCAAUGUUUGUCCUGGAGGAGCGACAGGUGGGGCUUGAUUCACUGAGUUCUCACUUCCUGAUUCCGGCCCGAGGUCGCUCGAAGUGUAAGAAGUGUAGGAUGCAGAGGUACUAACUCCGGAAUUUCCCUCCAUCUCUUCAGGAUCCUCCUCUUCUUCCCCGUCUUCUUGCUCCGCUUCUUCCCACUGCUACAUUGGCCCGUAGCCUUGUGGAUCUAGCCCAUCGGCGUUUGCAUUGGCCCAGACAAAUUGUUGAUUUCCCACGGGAGCUUCACCCUGAUCAUCUUCCAUGUCAACAUCAAACCCUUCUAAGUUCUCAUGAGCGUAUAGAUCAAUCUCAGGAGCUGCAGGUGGAGCAAGAUCUUCCUUCACUCCUACCACAUCCACUAACUGGUCCGCUUCUUCUGGGUUCGGUGGCUGGGGCUCUUCUGGUGGUGGAGGCGGUGGAACAUUAACAAUGUUUUGCGCAGGUACCUGGGCCUGCAUCUCCUCCAAAGCCAGACGAAGUGAUAAGAUCUCGUCCAGCUGCUGGAAUCUUUUUGCUUCAAGCCUAUUAACAUUGGAUUCGGCUUCCUCCCUUGCUCUAUCUGCCAUGCUCCUGCUAGCCUCUAUGAAUCCUUGCAUCACCCUGAGUUUUUCUUUGUAGUCGUCUAUUCUCCUGGACUGUUCCCUUAUUAUUUUCUCCAUGUCGUGUUCCCUUGUCAAUGCCGCCUUUUUGUACAAUUCCUUAUCAUGUCGGGCGCCCAUUAACUCCAUUUUGGCGUCUUCAUUUUUCUGCCUCUGAUUGUAAUACUCUCUGAUGCAAGACUGAUGUAAGUUGUACAUGGCCGUCAUGUAAUCAGAAGCAGCAGCAACCAAGAUAUCGUGCUCUACACGAGAAGAGUUCUUCAGAGCUUUAAUUCUCCUCUUCCAGAUCCCGUCAUCUUGAUUCUUGAUAGGAUAGAACCGAGCAGAGCUCGACCCUAUCUCUACUUUGUGCUUUUCACAUAACUCGGUAAGAGCAGUCAUAGCCGCCCUUUCAAUUGUGUCAUUGAACUCAAAGCCUGACUCCAUUACUUCUUCUAGACGCCAAUUGGGAUUGGUGUCUUCAUCUGGAAUGUGCACAUAAACAGUGCAGUACUGUUUGUGACCCGUAUCUUCCUUCCUCCAAUAAUAUUCUGGAGGGUUGUGAAAGCCUAAUUCCUGCAGCGUCUUCCAUAGCAACUUCACAAACCCCGGCUUAUCCAGAUAAUGGCCGCGGGUCCAUCCAUCUUGAUCAGUGUAACCUUCUUGAAACAUCCUAUAAAAGAAACGAGGUCAGGUCUAACGGCACUCACUAAACCCAAAAAUUUUGAAAAUAUGCUUAUGCAACAUGAUGCAACGAUUCCUACGGACUCACAGACUCAUAUACACACUCGUAAAGAAAUUGGUGGCAUCGUAAUCUCUCCCUAAAUAACAGACUACCGAAUACUAGCGACACGCAGCAAACAGUUAGCAUCUGCAAAACAAACAACCAGUUAACACUACUGCCACCUGUGACUCAUGUUUUCUUUAUUUUAAAAUAGAGUCCCAGUUUUUAAAUGGUAAUACCUGUUGAUUAUCCCAACCUACGGCUCUGAUACCAGCUGUGGCGGAACCGUCCAACUUAAACUGAUUUAAAUGCGCCUAAUUGCUGCCGACGUAGCAAUUAUUCGAAACGCACUUAAAACAGUAUAAGUCCGGUCGUCCGUCGAGUGUCCCUAGGACUCCUCGAAAGAUCCACGUUGUGUCUCGUAGCCAUACAUCAGGAUAGUAUCCGCGAUGGGAUAGCAUCAACAAAUAUUACAUUUUUACAUACAUACAAGAGGUACGAGUUAUUACAAGACUUAGUUUGAAGCAAACUUAAUAGUGCAGUGUUAGACAGAGUUCUAGGACUUAAAACAUAAACGGUUCAGAUGGAGAUGAGCAUUAAAAAAAACUUCUUCUAAGGGUAUUGUGAGACUCAUAACAAUACCCUAGGGCUUCGGGGCUUCCUCCUCGGUGGACUCCUGCGGUGCUUCUGAAAAGAUAGCCACAAGGGAUAACCCUGAGUACGAGGUACUCAGCAAGUCUUACCCGACUAACCAAUAUAAUAGCUUUUCUUUGGAAGUACAUGAUAGCUUUUUGGUGUACUUGGCUGAUACAUUUUUGCCGAAAAGCUUACUACAAGUGAUGCCUUAGUUUUAUCUUUUAUUUGGGUUAAGUCAUUACCUAACCAUUCUAGAUGAUGAGAAGAAAGUAAACGCAACCAUAGAUAUUAAGUCAUACAUCAAACAUUAUCAGAAAGAUAUGCCAUUCAUGAAUUUAUGCUACGAUGCUCAACAGUGAUCAAGUGCAUUCAUAACCGAGAAUUGCGGCGAUCCGGAUCAAUUUACAUCCUGCAGGAGAGUACCCCGAUCACCAGUUAUAUACGACUGUCCAGGUCGUACACAACGACCUUUCGAUUAGCAAAAUCAAUGAUUGGGAAUAAGACUACCCGGACCCAGGGACGCACCCCCACAUGGGACCCCAUGUCUGGCCCGAUCACCAUGUGAGUUUCAGGCUACACCCCUGCCAAUCUCCAGCACGUCAAGCGCGGGUACGAAGUAUUCCCGAUCAGAGAGUUUGCUAACCUACUGGGCUUUACUGGUCCCAUACCCAGUAAGUGAUCAGAUGAUUAUCACUUGAUCAAAGGUUAAGACAACGAAUCGGGCCUUCACCACAUUAAUCUAGCAGACAGAACUACAUCUCUAGCUUCUAUCCGCUUCUCAAUUCCAAGUCAUCUUCCCAUAAAUAACAUGUAAGACUCAAAAAGUUUUCCUUAAGGUUGGUAAACCAAGCAUUGAAGCAACUAAGCAUUUCUAGACUUGGGAUACCUACUAGGGUUUGAACAAGUGGCAAAGAUGUCCUUAGAACAAGGUAUGAUCAUGCACAAGAAUAGGUUUCAAGCAACUCCUAGACUUAAUGCAUACAUAUAGCAAAUAACUGAAUAUAGGACACAUGAAAUAUUGACUUCAAAAUAAUAGGUGUAAUGCACCGGGGCUUGCCUUGUUCGCUUAAAAAGUUAGUACUGUCCGACGGGUUGGCCUCGCAGGGGACCAAUUCAAAGACUUCUUCAAACUCCGAAGGUCCUUCUGAAAAUUCCAAGUAAUCUCCUUCUGGUGCUUCGGGGUCUAUAGCACAACACAUGCAGGGGUUAGGAAUGCAAAUUUUUGAAUAAAAGACUAUACAACUUUCCUUCAUGAUAAAGUUGCAAGCCGACAAGGACUAUACAAUUUAUCAUGAUAAAGUUGCAAGCCAACACACAAAAACCCAAAAAGAUUAGCCCAAAAUUUUUAUUUUCUUACCUAACCUUACUCAAGGCCUUUCUUUUAUUUUUUUUGAAAAGGUUAUAAUUAUUUUCUAACUUGAAAAACUAAUUUCCUAUGAGUUGAGAAUAAUUUGUGAUUACGAAAUGUUAUCCCAUAUUUAUACAUUUUAUAAGAUUAAGUAUUAUUAAUUACUUAAAAGAAAGGCAUUAAAUGAAUACCUAAAUUUUUAUAGUUUUCCUAGGGUAUAAAAAUUUUAAUGCAUAAAGGAAAAUAAAACAAGCCUAACAAAAUUGGUUUCACUAAUUUUGGACACUCCUAGAAAUUUCUGUGAUUUAAAUGGUGGGAUUCCAAUUUAAACUAAUUAUUCUAUAAAGGAAAUCCAAAUUUUCCCGAAAAACACCCCCGGCGACUUUUCUCACGCGGCUCGACUCUACCCCCUCUCACUUGCGCUGGGCCCGUGACGCGGACCCACCCCUUCUCCUAUUCCUUCUACCCGCCGGCCUCCUUUUACCCCGGCCGGGCCCUAUUGGGCCGAUUCCUCUUUCCCCUUCUUCUCCUUUCGCUCGCGACGGCCCAACGGCCCUCUUUUCUUUUUCUUCGUUUCCUCGCGAGCGCGGUCUGCUGGCUCCUCUGGGCCUCCGGCCUUCCUCUCCACGGUCGACCGCGAGCGCUCCUGGGCUUUCAAGGCCGCAGCCCAACUGGCCUCCGCGUCCGGCCGGCCGACUCCCUCUCCCUCUCUUCCCUACUGACGCGCGGGCCCAAGGCGCCAGACUCUUCUUCCUCCUCCCGCCAAAACUCGCGCACGACAGGGGGCGGUGCGGCUCGCCGACCGGCGCCCUACCCGCGGCAGAACUAGGUCAGGAAAGCACCUCCAUGCCCUCACACACCCGUGCGUGGCAGCACUUCCUCGGGAGAUGGCCGGAGCCAUUCCCUCCACGGCGGCGGGCGGCGGCACCUACGGCCGGUCGCGACUACGCACGACAACGGCGCAAACUACCCCGACGACUACCACGACACCAUCCUAGCAUCCUAAGCACCUGCCUAAGGCUACCCAAGAAGGAAGAGAACAAGCGCAAGGGGGUGCUCACCGUGAGCGGGAGGUGCGGCGACGACGGACAGAAACGGCGGCGGUUUAAGGCGUACCGGCAGAGAGGCUGGGCAACAAGCUGCUAGGGUUGCUGGUGGGGUGUGGGUGGAGGUGUGGACGGAGGGAAUCGACGGGAGCUGCGGUGUGGUGGGAGUAUUUUUCUCGGCGGCGGCGGCUUGGACAGAGGAGAUGGCGGCGGUAAAAAGGACAGCGGUAGAAACGGCGGCGCGGGAGCGAUAGUUAUUCAAGCUUUCACCGCGCGCAUGGGCGACACCGUGGCCUACUCGUAGGCUUGCGUGGUGAGGAGGUGGCGUAGCUGCCGCGCUGGCGAGCGACCGACGACGGCGGCGGCGACACGUCCUGCUUGCUCUGUCAUCGUUCCCCCCCUUUUCUUCUGACACCCGAAACUUCAGAGCUCCACCACGGCCGAUUCCAAAUCCGACAGUGCAUAUGUGUCUUAAGAAAAGUUGUAGAUAAUCUCGAGUUUUCCAAUUGAUAUAUAAACCUUUGCCCGAGAUAAACAUCCAAAAGUCUCCAAAUUUAAAUUUUUCUCGGGCAAAUGACUGAACCCUUUUUCCCUUCCAUUCAGUUUCGUCAGUCACUCGAUGUGGUCAUGUGCCCGACUUAGUGAAUCAUUUCGGUGCUCCAAAUCCUCUUUCUGUAGUUCAACUUCUACCCAAUUGUGUUCUACCAUCUUCAAGGUUUCCAUUUUUCCCAAAAACACCUACCUCUUUCGAUCUACAUUCCUCUGAAGUCCAUUUCAAAGUCGGCCACACACUGCUGUCUUCAGACUUAGUCAUUUUCAGUGAUGCAAUUACAGUGACGAGAUGCUGACUUUAGGCCUUCAUUUGAAAUAGAUCCCUCUGCUAUUCUUGAUCAAAAACACCCAAAUCUAGUAGUCCAAAGUCCACACUUUAAUAUGGUGUAGUUGUUCUGAUUUACUUAUUUGAAAAAUUCAUCAGAAAUUAAUUUUGAAAAUGGACUCUGCUGCUGUUUUUCUGAAAUUUCCUAUUGUCAGAUGGUGAAUAGUGCACUUCGGUUUUAUUUGCUUUCUUUGAUUCUUUUGAGAUAUCUAGGACCAAUUCUGUUCCAAUUUCUUGAUCCUCAAGUUCUAAUCACCCUUACACCAUUAUUCCAUAUUUUUGACGAAUUUUUCUGAAUUUCAAUUCAAAAUUCAAAUUUCGGUCAAAUUUGACCUGAAUUUGAUUUUUGGCCAAUUUCUUUUUCUUUUCUUCUCAAAUUGCUUCCAAUUUUUCAAAGUCACUUUGGUGACUAAAAUGGCAAGGUAUUACAUCCCUCCCACUCCCCUUCGCCUAGUCCACUCCGGCUGCGAGCGGCGGCGGCGGCGCCGAAGGCUGCACGGGCAGCCCCUGCUCCGCCUCCGCCCCCGAAGUUGUAGGCCUGGCGCUCACGCUCGCCGUAACCUAGCGCCGCUAGGGCGGAUGGAGGGCGGCAGGCGGGCGGCGCGACCUGGGGCGGAGGGAGGGCGGCGUGUCGGGGGAGGAGGUGGAAGAGGAAAAAGAACGUACCGAUUCGGUACAUAACCGAUGGUAGGCGUCUAAAUAACCCAGAAAGCUAGUUAGAAGCUCGUUCUUUCCUCCUUUCCAGCUUACCAUUGUAACGUGGCUUUCCACAGCUUUUAGCUCAUGAAAAGCUAGGCUCAAAAGCUUGCCAUUUGUUCAAACUUUCGACUUCUGGGGGUGAGAAGCUGGCUGAAAGCCCAAACAAAUAGGGCCUAAAGAGGGUCUUCCCAGGUGGAUGGAAUGGGAUUAAAGGACCCCUUUUUGUCUCGAAAAAUUUAUCCCGAAUGGUUUUUAGAGAGAUUUAGCCUCUACCAACCGGGACUAAAGUCGAGGUUUCUAGCAGUGAGUGCAGAGGCUGAAUACAGGGCAGUGAAAAAUGCAGAUGCAGAGUGCUGCUGGCUAAGGUAAUUGCCUGGUGAAUUACAAUGUGCAGUCCUGUCAGCAACAGUGGUCUUCGGUGACAAUAUAUCUGCAGCUUACAUGGCCAGUAAUCCUGUUCAUCAUCACAGCACCAAACACAUCGAGUUGGACAUCCAUCCCUCGGUGAGUUUUGCAUCGUUCGUUUACCAACUGAUCAACAGAUUGCAGAUAUAAUGACCAAAGGAUUAGCUUCAGAUUUAUUCGACUCUUUUUUUUCUAGUCUGUGCAUUUUGUCAGGAGACGAUGUUCAGACUGCCGGGGGUGUUACACUGACAAUUAUAGUUUUCCAUUUGGCCCGCGGCCCGUGGGCCGGCCCACGGCACGACAUUUGGCCCGGUACAGGCACGGCUCGGCACAGCGGCCUUGCAGGACUGGGCCGGCCCGACCUACACCACGGGCCGGGCCUAGGCCGCUACCUCAGGCCGUGGGCUGGCUCGGCACGGCCUGGCCCAUUCAGCCCGUGGGCUAGCAACGGCCGGCACGGCUUGUUUAGGCGUGCCACGCCUGCCUCGGCCCGGCCAACGGCCGUAUAAAACACCAGCACCCGGCGACCCCUAGCCGAAACCCUACCCCGCACCCGCUCCGCUCCCGCAUUGAGCCGCCUCUCGCCCUCUCCAGCGCUCCCCUCGCUUCCUCCCGGCUCCUCGCCUCCUCCCUCCGUCCCUCGAUGCCUGCGCCUCCUCCCCCUAGAUCCUCCGCUGUCCUUGCCCGCCGUCGGUCUCACCCUGUCCCUCCCCUCUCAGAUCCGGCGUCCUCGCCCACCGCCGGCUCGCCGGUGGCCCAUUCGCCUCCCUCUCCCCGUAACUACUCUUCCACUCUGAGAUCUGGCGUCCUUGCCUGCCGCCGGCUUGCCGGUGGCCCCUCUGCCUCCCUCCCCCUGUAACUCCUCCUCCACUCUCAGAUUCGGCAUCCUCGCCUGUCGCUGGCUUGCCGGUGGCCCCUCCGCCUCCCUACCCCCGUAACUGCUCCUCCCCUCUCAAAUCCAGCAUCCUUGCCCGCCGCCGGCUCGCCGGUCACCCAUCUGCCUCCCUCCACGUAACCCCGCUUCUCCCCUAGCCCCUCUGGCCCUCCGCCUUCCUUCCCGGCUCCUCGCCUCCUUCUCCCAACCCCUCGCAGAUCCGCCUCACUCCCUGGUUCCCCACCAUUGCGGUUCGUCUUCUCCGGCUUAGGGCUCCGGCUGCGUAGGUAAACAACCUCCUCUCGUUCCUCUUCUUGUUUCGACCCCUCGCAGAUCCGCCUCCCUCACUUUUCUCCUCUUGCAGGUCUCCUAUAGGUGCCGUGCGUCGUUGAGGAACGGAACCGUCGAGGCGACGAUGUCAAUGGUGGAGGGCUCGAGGGUGUGUUCCCUGUUCCGGGUGUGCUCUUCAUUUGAGGUCUUAGGAUGGACGACGACUAUCCAACCUGCCUCAAUGAUGAGUUGCGGUUGAUGGGGGAAACCGGAGAUGAUAAUUCUGAUUUGGAGGCGGAUCGGCGAGCGCUGCUCAGUGGUGCCGUCCCCGAUUCUCAGCCAGGUAGUGGAGAUUCUCCACCACCUGCUGCUACUGGCUCUGGUGCUGGUCCGGGCUCGGAGAGUACGGGCAGCAAGAGGACUCGUUCUUGCACCUCUAAGGUAUGGGACGACUUUGAGCCACUGUACGAGGUAAUGAAUAACAAGAGGGUAAGAACUGGUGCUAAGUGCCUACAUUGCAAGAAAGUUUAUUUUGGUAAGUCUUCUAGUGGUACUGGACACUUGCAUAGGCACCUUCCAAAGUGCCCAGUCUUGCUAGGUGCUUCAUGUAUGGCUCAGUCCCAACUCAAGUACAAUCCUGAUGGCUCUCUCCAUAUGUGGGAGCACAAUCCUAAUGUUGCUCGUAUCCAGUUGUGCAGAUUGAUUGCUAGACUAGACCUUCCUUUAUGCUUUGGUGAGUCUGAUGCAUUUGAGGAGUAUAUUAAUAUUGCUCAUAAUCCUAGAUUCAGUUGUGUGUCUAGGCAAACCACCACCAAAGAUUUUGUUAAGUAUUUUGAUGAGCGUCGUACUAAACUUGUGGCUUCUUUGCAAUCUGUUUCCUUUGUUGCUCUUACAUCUGCCAUAUGGUCUGGUAAUGCUAAGGAAGAUUACCUUAGUGUGGUUGUUCAUUAUGUGAAUGCUGAUUGGCAACUAGAGAAGGCCUUCGUUUAAUUGAUGUUUCUCAUAAUGCUGAUAAUAUUGCUGAGCGCAUUACAUCUGUUGCUACUGAUUAUGGUUUAAAUGAUAAGAUAUUUUCUAUAACAUUGGAUAAUGCAUCGGCAAACACUGCCGCAAUUGGUAAGCUUCAUCCUUCAUUGACUGGUUACAUGGGCAAACUAUUUUUUCAUCAGCGUUGUGCUUGUCACAUUGUUAAUCUUAUUGUUCAGGCUGGCCUUGAUGUUUUCAAGCCUAUGCUUAGUUCAUUUAGAACUGCAAUUUCAUUCCUAAAUUGUUCUAACCAACGUAUUGUGGCAUACAAGUCAUAUUGCAUUGCUAUAGGUGUCUGCCCUCGUAAGUUUGCUUUGGACAUGGAUGUUAGAUGGAAUUCAACUUAUCUCAUGUUAAAGAAUCUAUUGCCCCAUAAGAUCACAUUCCAUUAGUUCAUAACCACUUAAUAUGGUUUGGUUGAAGGUCAAACAAUUCUAACAGAAUUACACUAGUAUGUUGCUGAAAAGAUUAUGAUAUUUCUUGAACAAUUCUAUGAUUCUACUGUUAUUCUGUCUGGUGUUUAUUAUCCAACUGCUCCAUUAAUCUUGCAUCAUAUUCUUGAGAUAGCUAGGCACCUUAAUUUCUAUGCUAAUGAUGCUAAUCUGAAACAUGUUGUUGCACCCAUGAAGUCUAAGUUCUUAGAUUAUUGGUCUGAUAUACCUAUACUUUAUGCCUUUGCUUUUAUAUUGGAUCCUAGAGCUAAGAUUACUGGUUUUAGCAAUGUGCUUCAGCUGAUGUCUCAGCUAACUGGUAAGGAUUAUUCUAGUUACUUAACUGAUGUAAGAGCUGAAUUGUCUACAAUCUUUGGCAAAUAUGAAGCUAAGUAUGGUUCUGUGAGGAUGUAGAGGGCCACUCAGCCAGGCCCUGCAGGUAAGAAAAAGACUGCUUGGGGUAAGAUCUUUGGUUCCCAGGGUGCUUCAUCUACUUAUUCUGCUGCUAGCCUUGGUGCUGGCCUGGGUUCUACUUCUGUUUCCUCCUCCCUGUCUAGGAGACAAUCUGCUAGUGCUUUAUUGCAAGCUGCUCAAACAGGUGCCUCUCUUGCUGCUGCUUCUGAACUGUCUGCCUACCUAGACAGUGACACUAUCAACCAAUAUGAUGAUGACUUCAACAUAUUGACCUGGUGGCAUGAGCAUAAGUUAUCAUAUCCUCUUCUAUCUAUCUUAACUAGGGAUGUUAUGACUGUGCCUGUCUCUACUAUAUCUUCAGAAUCUGCAUUUACUACCACUAGCAGGAUCAUUGAGGAGCGGCGACGUCGUCUGACCCUGAGAUGGUGGAGAUCUUGGCUUUGAUCAAGGAUUGGGAGCAAGGAGAUUCAAGACUGCAGCAUACCGUCGACGAUACCGAACUUGAAGAGUCAUUUGAGAAUUUGUAUCUUGAUGAGUAAGAUUUCUAAUCUCAUUUACUUCUCCUGCAACAUACUUGUUACUUGAUGAUCUCUGAUCCUCCUAUCAUUUUUUACAGAAGCUAGAUGCUUGUUGUCCUGUUGGUGCUCUGUCAAUAUUCAGGAGCAAGUUAGAACUCAGAAGCCUCAUGCUAUUGUGCUUGUGUAGGUCUUGUGACUUGUGAGUUGUGAGUUGUCAGUUGAGUUGUGAACUUGUGUCUGAACAAUGAACUUUGAUGAGCUGGCUGUACUCUUUUUUCCAUUGUAGGGUUUUCUCACGAGGUGUGAGUUUUUACCUACAAAGAUUUUUAAUGAGGCAGCAAUACAAACAACUCAAAAUAAUAUUCAAAUUUGUUUGUGUUAUUGUGAUUGUGAAUCUGUGUGAAUAUGUGAAUCUGCGUGAAUCUUUGUGAAUAUGUUGAACAUGUGAAACUGUGAAUAUGUUGAAACUAAGUUUUGAAUUUGGCUUUGAAACUGUGAAAAUGUCUUAGUGUGAUGAAUUUGAUUCUGGUUAGGGGUUUUUAAUAAAAUGUGUCACAGGCUGGCACAGGCACGGUGAGGCUGUUAAGGCCCGCCGGGCUAGCGGGCCGGCACGGCCUACGUAAGAAGGUAGCAAGCUGGGCCUGGGCCGCUUCUUCGGCACACGGGCCGGCCCAGCCUGGCACGGCUGUUGUGCGGGCCUAAACAGGCCGGGCUUAUUCGUGCUCGUGCCAGGCCAGGCCGGGCCGCCCAUUUGGCCAUCUAUACUAACAAUGUAAAUGGUUGUAACGUUCUCCUAUACAUUGUAUAGGUUUGAUCCUACUCUCUCGGUCCCAAAUUACUAUUUGUUUUGACUUUUCCAAGUACAUGACUUUGAUUUAUAAGGGCAUAGCAAAAGCUAUAAAUAUAAAAAAACCAAAAUAAAUAGAAAUUUGUGACGGACGGAGUAGAUUCUAGGCUUGACCGAGCACUAGUUUGUUAGCCAUAGGUGCUUCCUGAACAUGUAUUUAACCACCUCCGCUCAUGAAUGAAAGUGUGUUGGAUCAAAAGAUCUCUCACAUUCUCUCGUUCUACAAUCAUCAUCGUCGUCAUCUAGCUAGCUUUAAUCAGCUGCCGUGGCGACUGGCGCGAGGCAGCUCCCUGCCGGCGAGGAAGUGCGCGAAAAGCUGGCAUGUAGCAGAGCAGAAGAUGACUUGAUGGAAGGCAUGUAGUAGACGUAGUUGAUGUCGAGAAAGUAGUACUUAUAGGUCUAAUGGUGUGCAUAAACGAGCUGCAGCAUAAAGUACAUCUCCUUAAUGGGCUAUAAAGAAAGGGCCCAUUAGGCAUUUCUUGGGCAUCAAACGCCAAUUUACAUAUUUGCGAACAAGCCCACAUAUUGCUUCCUGUACUUCGUUGUAUCAGCAUGAUUGCUAUAAUGGAGAACAACUUUUAGAUGUUGAAAGGCGUGGAAGAGCACGACGAAUCCCGAGUCAGCCGUGGAAGCAGCCAGCAGAGUCGCGGGGGUGCUAUUCAAGCUCGCCGUGAACACUGCAAGAAACAAACUCAAAAUGAUUAAUAUACUUUGAUGAUGAAUGGAAACGGUAUGACAAAACAGAGGGGUUUCUGUGUACUUACGAGGCUCUAAGUCUCUGCCGUUCACUGGUGGAAAAGUGAGCAUUAGUCCUAGUUGGAGAGUCACAUAGGUCUCGAAAAUCCAAUCGGAACUAAUCUUUCGAGACUAAAUACCCCCCUCUCUAGUCCCUAGUAUUUCACCUAAGACUAAAGACCUCCUUUAGUCUGGUUAGUACUACCAACCGGGACUAAAAAUAUUUAAAAAAUAAAAAAAAAUGGGCUACCCCUGCUCCCGCCGCUUGCGCCUACGCUUGCACCUACACCGGGCCAGCCCAUGCCAUGUUGGGCCCUCGCCCACCGACGCCGCGUUGGGCAGCUUCACGCCAUGUCGGGUCCUCGCUCACGGCGCCGCGGCAACACAGCUCCCCUAUGCCGCACCAUCUCGCGGGGAGGGAGCUAGGAGGAGGAGGUCGGGGAGGUGGGGAUGGAGGGAGGGAGCAGAGCUUCGAGAGGAGGAGGCUGGGAGGAAGGGAGGGACCAGUGCUAGCUAGGCCGGGAAGGGGGAGGGAGCAGAGGGUGGAGCGAGUUGAGGGAGAGGAGAGGAGGAGAUAAGGGAGAGGAGAGGAGCGCUAGUUAGGAUCCUAAUUCAUUUUAUCCUAGCUGGUGGCUCCAACUGAAAUUAAAAAGGAUCCUUUUAGUCCCGAUUAAAAUUACAUUGCUAGAAAAAUCGAGAUAGGAAGUAAUUCAUGUUAUUCCUAGCGGAGUGGGGCCGAACUCCCGGCAGCAUGGGGCUGGCCUCCCGGUGGCACAGGGCUGCGGUGUGGGGGUCGGCCUCCUGAUAGCGCGGGGUUGCGGCUUUCCCGAGACAACGGUGCAGGGAGCGGCCUCUCGCACGGGCCCGACCUCACUCCAGAUAGAUUAAAGGGUACAGGCUGAUGACUGGUUGAGCCAUUGCUGAACAAAUAAAUCAUCGUAGAUAGAACCACCAAGCUCAUAACGAUUAAUCUAGCGUCCCUAGCAGUCGAAUCGGACCUAACCGAGACAGCGCUGGCAGCAGAGCGGUAGACUUAAAAGUUACUGGCCGAUGAAUUUAGAUGCGACGAGAUAAAAGGCUCAGUAAUAGCUCAGUGAAGGCCAAGAAUAAUAAGAUGUAUCGGUAAAAGCUUUACUGGCGGGCACGGCGACUUAAAAGUUACUGGCAUCCCAUCUAGAUCGGACCUAACCGUGCCAUCUAGAUCGGACCUAACCGAGGCAGCGCUGGCAGCAGUGCAGGAUUAAAAGCUUCCGAAUCACAAGACUCCUACUUGGGCACAUCAAAUGACUGAUACAGACUUUCCUAAUUUAACAUAAGGAAACUAAUCUUUAAGAUACAAUUAUGACCCUACAUAUCCCAUAUCUGGUAGGAUAAUGCAAUGUAUAGGCCUUUCCAGAGUCCUUGUCUGAUACGCCUUUCCAAUAUCUUUAUUAGAAUAUUCUUUUCAUUAUUUCAGGUUUUAUAGGAUUUUAUGGGCCAAAAUCCUGUGUCAACAGUUUUUCUAACUUUAAGUAAACUAUAUAAACUUGCACAUGUCUAUUCUCCCCUAUAAAUAUAGACGCCGGCCAGCGGCAUUAGCAACUCGAGAGUUGUAGAGCACACGGGAUAAUAUGUCUGGCAACAUGAGUAGUAGUCCUGGCUACUUCCUCGCCCUUUCCAUCCUGGUCCUCGGCGUUACAACUAACCUGCAGCCGCACCCUGGCUGCACAGCUGCUAGGGAGUUCCCAGGGGCCAACUCGCCCGCCAAGCAUCAGGCCCCGGUGGCUGUGGGCACCGCCGCCCCAGCCGGGACCAAUGGCAACGACACUACCGCCCCACAAGUGGCCGUUCAUGGCCGCAGUAGCCCAGGUAUGGCAUGACUGACAGCCCUUGCUAGCUCGAUUUGGGCAACCCGCAUCUCAUUUUUCGCUUCCCAACAUGACCAUGACGUUACAUUUCUAUCUGUACAUUUUAGCAGCAGCUAGCCUUCAUCUUUACAUAUUUGAUGUGGGUUUAUUUACAUAUCUUUUUCCCCUGUUUUAUGCCUUUUUGCGUGCCAAUUAGCUGGAGGGGCCGAAGGGCAAUACAUGGACCUCAAGGGCGAGUGCGCAACUCGUGCAGGGUGCUACGUUCCAGGGGUUGCAACACAGAGACACCCGACCUUUCCGCCCGUAGUUGGUUCUCCAACAGGCGGUUCUUCAGGAUUUUGGGAGUUCGUCCGUGGUGGAUGGCGGAGAAUGAAGAUUCGUCCUCCCGUACGAAAAUGACUCCCUGCAGCCGCAUCCCUUAAACCAUGGUUGAUGUCUUCUGCCCGUGUUAUAUGGGAGAAAAUCAAUGGUGUAUGGGAGUUACUACUGUGUCUGAUACCUAGCUAGCUUGGCAUCCGCUUGGUGUCGGCCAUUUGGGAAGGCUCCCUGCUGCUUAAUGAGCUAGCCUUCAUCGUUAAAUAAAACGUCUGAAAUAUGCAUUUACUCGUACUGUAACGCUGCAGUUCUCUCCUGCGUCCAACAGAGCUGGGGUUGGCUUCUGAUUCAUGGUCUGGAGUCUUCGACGAUGUGGGGCGCGGCGUACAGAUCGGACCUGUUGAUGAAGGCCCUGCCAUUUUUCUCGUGUAUUGUUUCUUAGAGUCUUUUGUUCAGGGGUUGAAAGUUGUAACAAGCAGGGUGUGCUCUGUACAACAGAGGUGUCAGCACUCUAUCGCUGUUUAUUUAUAUAUAUUUUUGAGCUAAAAUUUGAUGAAUAGCUUGCUUGUUAUAUAUGAUUCGUAUUAAGUAAAGAACUUGAUCAAUAUUAGAUCAAUAUUAGGUAUGGAAAAAAAUAGAGUAAAUGUGUUUUUAAUAUUUAGUCAUUACAAUAAAGUUAAGGUAAAUAAAUUGUAGGUGUAAGAAGUAGAAUUUGGUCAUUGCUACAAGUUUUCAUGUCACUGUAUUUGAACAAUAAUUUAUUUAUCUCAUGUUUAUUGCAAGGAUUAAAUAUUAUAAACAUAUUUACUCUAUUUUUUCCCCUACCUAUUUUUGAUCAAGUUAUUUAUCUAAUACAAAGCCCUAUGUUCAAUUUUUCACAUAAUACGAUACAGAUGGAUCGGCAAUGGAUGUACCACCUCCGCUCCUCCAAUCCUAGAGAACAGUGUCUGCACAUGGCAUGAAUGUACUUACACUAUUCUCUAGUAUUGGAGGAGCAGAGGUGGCUCUACAUCCUCUAGUAUUGGAGAAACAUUCUAAAGAGCUGGUUCCUCCGCUCGUCCAAUACCAGAGAACAGUGUCUGCACACAGCAUGAAUGUGCUUACACUAUUUUCUGGUACUGGAGGUGUGGAGGUGGCUCUCCAUACACUUUGUAGAAGAUCGAGUCAUGUGCAGAGAUGGCUUGCAGGGCGAAUAUUCUACUAUGUUGUAUCUUUAUUUUAAGAUAAUUGACUACAUGAAGUCUACUAUGCAGCGUCCGUAAUCUUUAGUGUAUAUGUAUCUUUAUUGUCAACCUAGUGAAUGUUAUGAAUGUUGAUUGGUGUAAUUUUCAUGUGAUUUAUUUUUAUCCUUAUGAAGGUUGAUUGGAGUAAAUUAUCAAUAUUGAUCAAGUUCUUUAUCUAAUACGAAGACAUAUGUUCAUUUUUCACAUAAUAAUUUAUUUAUUUCAUGUUUAUUGCAAGGACUAAAUAAUAUAAACAUAUUUACUCUAUUUUUUCCCUACCUAAUAUAAACAUAUUUACUUUAUUUUUAUCUUUAUGAAGGUCGAUUGGAGUAAAUUAUCAAUAUUGAUCAAGUUCUUGAUCUAAUUUGAAGACCUAUGUCCAGUUUUCACAUAAUACUAUGCAGAUGGACCGACAAUAGAUGUAUAAAGCGGACAGGUGGACCAAGAAGUUUGUUGAUGGCUUGCAUUAUUUUCUCGAAGUGGCCAAAACCAACAAGCCAGAGAUGGAAUUCAUAUGUUGUCCAUGCUUCCAAUGCAGUAACAAGAAGGACUACUCUUCCUGGGGGACUGUUCAUAACCACUUGUUUAGAUACGGUUUCAUGCAUAAAUAUUUGGUUUGGACCAAGCACGGCGAAAGAAGGGUUAUAAUGAAAAAUGAUGAACAAGAGGAGGAUAAUAACAAUAUUCCGAACUGGGCUACAUGUCAAGCUUUUGCAGAUACUACAAUGGGCAAGGCUGAUGAAGAAGAGUUUGUAGAAGACGGCCCUAUUCAUGAUCUUGGUCAGGUGCUAUGGGAUGCAAAGAGAGACUGCGAAACUAAGAAGGAAUCAAAAAAGCUACAGCACAUGAUAGAUGAUCACAAAAAAAUUGUUGUACCUAGAUUGCAAGCAGGGGCACAAAACACUGGGUACCAAACUGGAAAUACUAUAAUGGAAGGCAAAAAAUGAUGUGUCCGAUAAGGCAUUUGAGGAGACGUUGAAAAUUGUAAAGAACAUUCUUUCCGAGAAUAAUGAAUUGACUUCCACAACAUAUGAAGCUAAACAUGUUAUUUUCCCUCUGGGAUUGGAGGUUUAGAAGAUACAUGCAUGCCCUAAUGACUAUAUCCUCUAUCGUAGUGAUGAAUAUGAGAAAUUGGAUGCUUGUCAUGUGUGCGGAACACUGCGGUAUAAGAUCAGAUGAGAUGAUCCUGGUGAUGUUGAGGGGUAGCCUCCCAAGAAGAGAGUUUCUAUAAAGGUGAUGUGGUAUUUCUCUAUAAUACCACGUUUGAAGCAUUUGUUUAAAAACAAGGUGAAUGCUAAGUUGAUGCGAUGGCCCAAAGAAGAAUGUAAGCAAGAUGAGAUGCUAAGACACCCCGCGGGUGAGGCCUAGUGGAGAUCAAUUGAUAGUGCAUUCGUGAACUUUAAAAUUGAUACGAGGAACAUAAGGUUUUGUUUAAGUACUGAUGUAUUCAAUCCAUUCGAUGAGUUGAGUAGUGGUCAUAGUAUUUGGCCUGUGACUCUAUGUAUGUUCAACCUUCCUCCUUGGUUGUGUAUGAAGCGAAACUUAAUUAUGAUGUUGGUGCUUAUCCAAGGCUCAAAACAACCCGGUAGCAACAUUGACGUGUACCUAAGACUGUUGGUUGAUGAACUUUUACUGCUCUGGAAGGUAGAAGGUGUACAUAUGUGGGAUGAGGCUAAACAAGAGAGCUUUGACCUAUGAGCCUUGUUGUUCAUAACGAUCAAUGAUUGGCCUGCGUUGAGUAACCUUUCAGGACAGACAAACAAGGGAUAUCGGACAUGCACCCAUUGUUUAGAUGACACGGAUAACAUGUAUUUGAAAUACCGUAGGAAUGUCAUGUAUAUGGGCCAUCAUCGAUUUCUUCGUGCUAACCACCUAUUAAGAAAGAAAGGGAUGCAUUUCAAAGGGACCCCAGACCAUCGUAAAAAACCUGCACACCAUAAUGGAAAACGUGUAUUUGAGAUGAUAAAGGAUGUAAGAGUAGUCUUUGGAAAGGGUCUUGGUAGCGAACCUGUUCCGAAUGACGAUAAUUGAUAUGCACCCAUGUGGAAGAAUCUUUGUGUGAUGCAUGCACCUAAUGAAUAAUCUUUGCGUGAACGUGCUAGGCUUCAUGGGUUGUUAGGGGAACUCAAAAGAUACAUUGGAAGCACGACAGGAUCGGAAACAUAUGAAUCAACAAGAUGACCUAAAUCCGGAAAAGAGAGAUAAAGGAUAACACUACUUACGUCCUACUAGUUACACUCUCAGCAAGAAAGAGAAGGAUAACAUGUUUGAACGCAUGAAUAGUAUCCAGGUUCCAUCUAGGUACUCCUCAAAUAUAAAGAGAAUAAUAAAUAUAAAAAAAGAAGUUCUACAAGUGCUAUGGCUGGCCUCAGCGCUUGCAGCAAUUCACCCCGUUGUUGGAGCGCUGCCGCAGCCAAGUAGCAACUGCCAGAGAAGAUAUGGCCAACUCGAGAUCCACUACCCGUUUGGCAUCGGAUCAGGCGACUCGCCUGACCACUGUGCCAUGCCUGGCUUCUACCUGAACUGCAGCGACUCCAAGACAUUUCUUGGUAAUGUCGAGGUGCUUAACAUCUCGAUACAAAACAGCACUGCACGGAUGAGGGUGACCAUGGCCUCAUCUUGCUACAACACCUCCACUAAGGACAUGGACUACAACGCUCGGGCGUUGAACCUUACAGGUACGCCCUACAGGCUCUCCGACACGGCGAACAAGUUCACGGUUGUUGGGUGCAGAACAUUGGCAUACAUUGCUGAUCAGGACAACGUGGGAAAGUACGCGAGCGGCUGCGUGUCCAUAUGCCGGCGAGGUGAUGUGAGCAUCCUCACCGAUGGUUCAUGCUCUGGAAUUGGCUGCUGCCAGACAGCCAUCCCCAAGGGGCUACAAUACUACAAAGUGUGGUUCGAUGAAGGCUUCAACACAUCCCAGAUCUACGACAUCAGCCACUGCAGCUACGCGGCGCUGGUCGAGGCAUCCAACUUUACAUUCUCCACAAGGUAUGCUACAUCGUCGGCGUUCUAUGACACUUAUGGCAGGAAGCCGCCGUUGGUGGUGGACUGGGCUAUCGGGAAUGGAACGUGUGAGGAAGCCCGUAACAAGCCUGGAUCAUAUGCUUGUGUCAGCAGCAACAGCCAGUGCUUCAAUUCCACAAACGGACCAGGCUACGUCUGCAAUUGCUCCAAAGGGUUCCAAGGCAAUCCAUACCUUGUCGACGGAUGCCAAGGUAACGAAUCUGCAUAAACCUACAGACUACAUAAUUGAAACAUGAAAGAAGCUGAGUAGAGCUGUAGAAUCUGAAGCUUAAUUAUGAUAUGUAUAAAUGUUACUGAAAAAAUAGUAGUAGUACAGUUUCACCAGAAGCUACAAGCUAAGUCUAUUCCUGGUCUCUGAAGUAAAAUUUGACGCUCUAAACAUGUUAAAUGUUCCAUAUUAUCAAUCAAUAUACUGCAAAUUUUUUACAAAAUAUUUUUUAUGCAAUUGCUAAUACUGCAGAUGUUGAUGAGUGCAAGGAUCUGGAAACCAACCCUUGCUCUGUGAAGGAAGCUUGCAAGAAUACUCAUGGUGGAUUUGAAUGCACUUGUCCUCAACAGUCCCCCAAAGGCAACGCCUACAACGGGACAUGUGAGAAAGACCAAUCAAUUCCACUUAAAGUCACAAUUCCAAUAGGUACACCUAUCUUUCCUCUUUCAAUACAUUUAUUAUGUUUUAGAAGUAUAUAUGUUCAAAACAGAUCCACGAUCGUGAGAAGUUGGUAGAUAUUAUAAGGAGUAUCAAGCUGAUAACGUAUCCAACGGACAUGGAGACACAACCACGAAAACACAAAUAUUAAACGAAUUGCUUACCAAUUAUUAAUUGUUUCAGCUAACCAGAGUACUUUUCAGACUCUUUUUUCCAGCCGUCUAACAACUUGAAGUUUCCAUACAUGUCUGAUCUGCAGGAAUUUUUGGCUGUCUUUUGGUUGGUCUUUUACUUUUCCUUAUUAAAGAAUGGAUCAAGCACAAACGACGAAUAAUCAGGCACGAAUACCGAAGAUGAACGAAUGUUUUCAGCAGAACGGUGGCCAACUUCUAAUGGAUAUGAUGAAAGUAGAGAGUAACAAUUCAUUUCAGUUGUAUGACCGGGAAGAAAUUGAGGUGGCCACAAACAACUUCGAUGACAGAUCAAUCAUUGGAGAAGGUGGUCAGGGAACCGUUUAUAUGUGGCAAAAUCUUGAUGCACAAAACAAUCCUGUUGCAAUCAAGAUCUGCAAGGGAUUCGAUGAGAGUAGGAGAAGGGAAUUUGGUCAGGAGCUGCUUAUACUUUCUCGAGUAAAACAUGAAAACAUUGUCCAGCUUCUAGGUUGCAGCUUGCAGUUUGAAGCUCCAGUUCUGGUGUACGAAUUUGUGCCAAUCAAACCCUGCACUACCUGAUCCAUAGACAAGAUGAUGCAUCCAUCAGAACUAUGGAAAUCCGUCUUAAAAUUGCCACUGAAAUUGCUACUGCACUAACAUACCUACAUUCACUUAGUCACCCUAUCUUUCAUGGAGAUAUCAAAUCUGUCAACAUUCUUAUAGGCCACAAUCUCUCCGCUAAACUUUCUGAUUUUGGAUGCUCAAUGAUUAGGUCUGCUGAUGACAAUGUUCAAGUAGUGAAGGGGACAAUGGGCUACUUAGAUCCAGAGUACCUUUUGAACUUUGAGCUUACUGAUAAGAGUGAUGUUUACAGUUUUGGUGUUGUCCUUUUGGAGCUCCUAACACGUAGGAAGGCACUGUCCGAAACAAAGGAGAGCCUCGUGUCUGUCUUCACGGAAGCCAUGAAGGAGGGCAAGCUUGUGGAGCUCAUAGACACGGAGUUAGCCAACCAAGAAAACAUGGAUUUAUUACAUCAAAUGGCUGCAUUAGCAAGAGAAUGCUUGGCCAUGACUGGUCAACACCGACCAAUGAUGAGCCAGGUAGCCGAGGAGCUCCAACGAUUGGCAGGCCCGGUGCCACAGCGCACUCGACUGUUUCAUGGUAUUAACGCACUCAUGUUGCAGGGACGGUCGUCUAACAAUGCAGCAGGUGACUAUAUUAGUGAAGAAAGCACAGAUUACUACAACCUCAAGGAGAAAGCCUCCAUGAGCACAGAGUUUGCACGAUGAAAUCAGUACGCAUUAGUUGGUUGCGGCAGUGUAGACAUGCAUAGUAUAUUGACGUGUGUCCUAUUUAGAUACGUUCACAAUGUCAUAACAUAAUUUUGUUGAACUUAAUACUUCCUCAGUAAAGAUUUGUAUAGUUUCUAUAUAUACUGAAAUUACAUUGUAUCAGGAAAGUGGCUUUUGCCGUUCAAAAUUAUUGCAUUUAAAUAUGGUAUAAAGACUACUUUACAGCCGGCCGUAUUUUUGUUAAACGGAACGGCCGGUUCCAUCCACCGUCCAGCCAGGAUCUAACAGCCACGGAAGCUAGUGCUCGCGGGGUCCACAGGUCAGACCAGACGUUUGCUCCCCCAGGCAUACUAUAGAAAAUCUCGGGGCGCACCUGUUCGUCUUCAUCCGCUGAACUUUUUUUUAUUUUUAACCCUUUUUUUUCUUUAUUUUUAAAAAUAACCUCACCCGAGUUUUAUUUGCGCGGGGUGACCCUUUUGGCCGCGCCAGACCGCCUGGCGCGGCAGGAACACGUUGCCGCGCCGCAUGCACUGGCGCGGCGGCCCCUGCCACGCUGGCGCGGCGAGUCGUGGCGCCAGGUGGGCGCUGACGUGAGCGGGGCGUUCGCCGCGCCAGCCCGCCUGGCGCGGCAGGGCCAGCACUAGAUCCACGCGCCGGCUCCCUUCCUCCUCCCUCCCUCCUUUCUUCCUCCUCCAGACACACCCGAGCCCAAGCUCCUUGCGCCGCCCCCCGCCGCCCCACCCCCAAAUCCACCCAAAAUCCGGCGUUUUCGGUGGGGGAAAGUAGUGGAAAUCGAUCCCUGCUUCGUGUGGAAGGUAUUCCCCUACUUUUUCUCGUAUUUUACCGUUGCAUUUGGUAGAUCGGAGGAUGUUUAGGUGACUUAGGGUUAGGUUAGUGAUUUGAAAUUUCAAUGAAAUGCAAUGGUGUUUUGUGUUAGAUGAUACGUAGUUCAUACGCAAUUGAGUCUCUGCCCGCGAUAUUGACGUGUAGAACUUGUCGAUUUAAGGAUAUAUUCAUUGAAUCGUAUAGUGCAAUGUAUAUGUGUAUUUUUUGUUUGCAAUUUGUCCAAUAUAUGUAAUGUGUGUAGUUGAUAUGUCGAAUAUGUGCAAUGUGUAGUGUAUAUGACAUGGUGAAAUGUUUGUAUUUUGUAGAUGGAUCGUUUAGUUCGAUUUUUUGAUGGUGGUGUUGUGAAACAAAAUGGGGAGUUAGAGAAUAUGAAUGAGUCAAUUGAAUUCUUCGAUGGUCCUCCAAGUUUUAGUGAUUUAGUUGACCGUGUAAUGACGAAGUAUGGAUGUAGAGUGGAUGAGAUCGGUUUGAGAGGUCGUUUUGAUUGUGGGAAAGGUAGAGCUCAUUAUGUUCUCAUGAAGUUAGCAUCCGAUGCGAAUUGGAAGCACUAUAAGGAUGUUGUGCACGAAGCUAAUGUUGCAUGUUUGGAGGUUAUAGUCGAAAUUGUUCGUAUGCCUGGCCCAAAUGUUGUCAUGAGGGAGGAAGUGGCGGUAGUGAACCAUAAUGGUACCCAGGAGUCAGAAAUGUUGCAUCACGUGUUAGGUGAAACAGAACGUGAUUUUGACUUGGCUAUUGCCAAUGAUGAUUUUCCCAAUAACAUUUUUGAGAGGGAUGAAGCAAAUAUAGAUGUUGAUAAUGUCUCUAUGGGUUCCGAAGAUUGUGAAUUGGAGGAAGAUGGGGUAGUAGGUGUGGAGGUAGAGGAGGAAUCACUAUUUGAGAGUGGUGGGCAUGAAUAUGAGAACGUCGGGGUAGAAAAUGAAGAGGAUGGACCGCAAUUUGACACCGCAACCGUACAUGAUGUAGAAGGCAUUCGUCGUAUGGACGAUUGUUUUUCUUACACCCAGUAUGAGUUGCGGUUGUUAAAAGAACGUGAUGUCGAACUGCCAUCUGUUCCCAAUGAUAAGGACAUAAGUAUGGUUCACAAAGCAAUAUGUGAAUCUAGUAUGGUGAAUGCCGAAGGGACGUCCAUUGGUGAGAGUCCAGUGAUUAAGAAGGGGAUGAAGUUCAAUAGUCUUGAGGAGCUGAAGUUUUUCUUGGCUGACUACGCGGUGAGGUUACAUAGACCUUUUAGCGUAGUUCACUCUGACAAGAACUUAAGAUACAAUGUGAUGUGCAAGCAAGGAUGCCAUUGGCGUGUAUGGUCUCGGCUAAUAUCAAGCACCGGACAAUUGAAAAUUUCAAAUGUUGUGCAACCGCAUACUUGUCGGUCGUCACAGCCGAAGCGAGAGCAUGUACAGUGCACAGCAAAGUACCUUGGACGGCGUAUCCUAGGCAUUAUCCGUAAAGACAGCGAGACAUCGGUGCCAUCACUCGUGGAGUCCAUCUUCAUCUUUAGUGGGUACCGUGUGAAGUAUUCGAAGGCUUGGCGGGCGAAGCAACACACUGUUGCCCUGCUUUGGGGCGACUGGAAGGAGUCGUACGGCAUAGUUCCUAGGGUACUCUCAGCUAUGACCUACUAUAAUCCCGGAGUUAAAUGGUGCAUCGACUCAUGUGGCAUGAUGCUUCCUGACAAUGGAGUGUUGAAGCAUAUACUGCAAAGGGUAUUUUGGUGCUUCCCUCAAUGUAGUGAGGCAUUUCAACAUUGCCGUCCUGUGAUACUUGUGGACGGUACAUUCUUGACUGGCAAGUACAAGGGUACAUUAAUGAUGGCAGUUGUUGUAGAUCCAGAACAAUAGCUUGUGCCUCUUGCUUUUUCCUUGGUCGAGAGUGAGAAUAAUGAGAGUUGGUCAUGGUUUAUGAAACUUGUUCGGGUACAUGUUCUUGGACCUUCACGGAUAGUGUGUAUGAUAUCAGAUAGGCAUCAUGGGCUCCUAAAUUGUGCGAAGGACCACAUUGAUGGUUUUCCACCGCUUGUGCAUAGGUGGUGCAUGAGGCACUUUGCUGCCAACAUGUCACGUCGGCAGAAGAGCAAUCGUGUGAUUGGAAAAUUGAAAUUAUUAUGCAAGGUUCAUACAGAGAGAGAAUUUUGUGAGAAGUUAGAAGAUCUAGUGAAGGACUUGAACGACGACGCAAAAGAAUUGUUGAAGGGUGAAAUGGAGGACAAGGAUAAAUGGGCGCAGGCUUUCGAUGAGGGAGGGAUGCGCUGGGGAAUUAUGACCACGAACUUCUCGGAAUCACUCAACGGAGUUUUCAAAGGCAUCCGAAGUAGGCCCGUCGCUGGAAUUAUUGAAUACACAUUCGAAAAAUGCAACGCCUACUUUGUGAACCGAUGGGAAAAGGCACGUGAAAUGUUGGAUCAAGGCUAUAGAAUUGGGUAAGUUGCAGAUAAUUAUUUAUCAGAGGCUGAGCUUAGAUCCGUGCACCACUUAGCAGAACCGUACGGGCAAGAAAGGAUGGUGUAUUCUAUAAGAAGUUACGGUACGACUAACAUUGGGGGUGAGAGUCAUGGAGGCCGACACUACAUAGUGGAUCUGCACGAAGUUUCGUGCACCUGCAAUGUUCCUCAAUUGUUGCACCUUCCAUGUUUACACUUCAUUACAGCUUGCAAGGCAAGAGGUCUUAACUAUGAAAGCCCCAUGUACAUGUCACCGUUGUACUCUAGGGAGCACACCAUCAAAAUAUGGGAAUCAAGCUUUCAACCUUACCUAGAUCCGUCACAAUGGCCGGCAUAUGAAGGGGCAGGGUACGUGCCUAACCCCAGUUUAAUGGGAAAUAAAGUAGGAAGGAGGCAGAAGAAGCGUUUCACAGGCGACAUGGACGUGUCGGAAGGGAGGCUUUCUGCAGAUUAUGAUACUGGUGAUUUUGAUAUUGACAAGUCGGAAAAUCGUUGCUCCAAGUGCCACAAGAUCAUUAGGAAUUGCACGUGCCGCAGUAGAAAAUCAAAAGGCACUAAAUCUAGACCGAGCAGUAAUAGGCCGCGUACUUCGAACAAUUGGGUAUGCGCGUUGCUUGUAUUAUGCGUGGCUAUUAUUUUAUCUUUUUUUAUAGUAGUACAUUAUCAUAUUUUCCGUACUUAUCAUAUAAUGAAGCUUUUUACUAACGAUCAUUUUUGUUGUUUCUUUAGGAUGGCGGCCCCAGGGUACCCUCUUCUUGAGGCUGCUUACGACUUGCACCACCGUGCCCACCACCUCGCGGACCUAAAUGAGGUAUAACAAUGGUUGCUAAUUUUUGCUGAUGAAUGCAUACUUAGGAUGAGAAUUGCAAGAUUUUCGUAUGAAAUGUUCUUAUAAAUUAAGGAGCUGCCUAUCGUUACUAUUCACUUGUGUACAGUGUAAACAAUUUUAUACUGCAAAUGUCAUUUGUAUCAUAUUUGUGUUACUUACCACUUUAGAAGCCCGUUAUUCACAAUUGGAUUGACUUCUCAUUUUUUAAUAAUCUUAUAAUGUUUUGCAGAAUUUGACACCACUCAGGGCUAGGGUGCACUCACCACUUAGGUGGGAUGAGCGGUACGCCCAGUACCUGCAGAGAGCAGGUUUCUUGGAUAUCGCUGUUCAGGUCGUGGGGGGUCUCCCUCCAAUGGACGGACCACUGUUGACCGCUAUGGUCGACAGGUGGCGUCCGGAGACUCACACGUUCCACCUGCCCUUCGGAGAAAUGACCAUCACAAUGCAGGAUGCGGCUAUGAUACUCGGCCUUCCACUGGAAGGGCAGCCAGUGACAGGUAUUAUACAGAAUGAGAAUUGGCGUGAUAUGGUCGAGAUGCUUAUUGGGAUUAGGUCGCCAGAGCCAGAGGGUAGAGAUAUCUCGAAGAAAACGUCCGGUGUCAGCUCGGCAUGGUUGAGGGAGCACUUCGAAGUGUGUCCUCCGGGAGCAAAUGACGAGGUCGUGCAACGCUAUGCUCGAGUGUGGCUAUGGCACUUUGUCAGUACAUUCCUCCUUCCAGAUGCAGCUGGGAACACAGUAUCGUGGAUGGUUCUCCCCAUUCUAGGUCAGGUUUGGGAAAACAUAGCCGUUUACAGCUGGGGCUCAGCGGCUCUUGCCUGGCUGUACAGACAGCUAUGUGAGGCUUGCCGGCGCACAGCGAGAGAUUCCAAUGUUGGAGGGUGCACUUAUAUGCUCCAGAUUUGGAUUUGGAGCGAAUGCCCNNNNNNNNNNNNNNNNNNNNNNNNNNNNNNNNNNNNNNNNNNNNNNNNNNNNNNNNNNNNNNNNNNNNNNNNNNNNNNNNNNNNNNNNNNNNNNNNNNNNNNNNNNNNNNNNNNNNNNNNNNNNNNNNNNNNNNNNNNNNNNNNNNNNNNNNNNNNNNNNNNNNNNNNNNNNNNNNNNNNNNNNNNNNNNNNNNNNNNNNNNNNNNNNNNNNNNNNNNNNNNNNNNNNNNNNNNNNNNNNNNNNNNNNNNNNNNNNNNNNNUAUAGUUUUUUAAGCUAACUUCCGUAUAAUGUAGAUGAAAUAAGUAUGCGUGAAAAUUUUUGAAGGUGGAAUGGAAACCGUAUGACCGUGAGCAGCUUAGCCAUAUCGUCUUUUCACCGACGUGAUACAGAGACGGAGAGCUGUGGAGGUGCACGACCCCAAUGAUAUUGUACUACGUGGUAGAGUUUCAUAUGCCGCAUAGGGUGAUGCGGCAGUUUGGGAGGAUGCAACCGUGCCCUCCUUUGGAAUUAUCAACUUCACAGCAGCUGCACAGGUACGCAGGAAUAAAUAACUAUUGGAGGCUAUUCAAUUAACGCAAUUAACAUGCUAUACUAAUACUUCACUAAUUUCUGAUGCAGUAUCGAUCGCAGAAAGCGGUACAAGGAGAAUGAUUGGAGGUUGAAGCAUGGCCAGUACCUCCUCCUGUGGCAGAACAAGCAAGGAUGCGAUCCUGAAGGUGGACCGUACUGGCGACCAAACAAUGAGUACAUACGAUGGUACUGUACUUCGAUGAGAACCAAAGUGAAACCAUCUUGGACUAAUGUGCCCAUUGAGGAUGCACCGUCUGAUGAUGACGCUGACAUAGCUGACGUGUACGACACGGUGACACGCCAUGGGACACAGCCUGAGUGUGCACCUCUCCACGACUACAUGUGAAGAUUUCGGUUUGUAAUUAUAGUAUCGUCACAUUGAUCACUUAUGGAAUGAAAACUCCUUCGUGCAGGGACAGCAGCUUGCAAGGCUCUCAAACGAGGCGGGCGUGAUUAUGGAGCACGCCGUCGGGGAAGGUGAUGGUCUGCUUCGCGCUUUUGCAGAGGUAGAAGCCCAAACUAAUUUUCACUUAUACUCGUACUAUCUUUGUAACCAUCAAUAACAUAGUCGUGAAUAUAUGGCAGAGGGUUCGUAAAAGUUGCAGGCGAAUGGCUAUGAGGAUGAACUGCAUGACGUCCUCAGAUGCGCACGACGGGGGCAAUGUCCAGGAUACUUCUUCAGGAUCACGUCGGACUGCAUUGGCGACUACCCCCAGGGCUGCAACAUCGUCCACUGCUGCAGGUCCUAGCAGGAGAUCGCAAGGUAAGGAACCCGCAUCCCCUCAGGAAAGCGAGGACUCUGAAGGUGAGCAGUCUGAGGAUGAUGACCCUACAUAUGGUGAGGAACUGGAGAUUUCUCACGAUGCUCCACCUGUGACUCAGACGCAGGGAGAGUCCAGCCAGGUAUAUUCACAAGUUUCUCCAAAUUCAAUUAUACAUUUUAAUGUUCCCUCCCGAAGUGUCAUACAAAUUUUAUGAUUUGUGCCCAAUUAUUCCAUAGGAACCUGCACCUCAUACUCGGUUGCCACGCCGGCGUCGUCGUUCACGGGACCACACCGACGUUGGCAGCGCCAAUGCGCUGCCCACGCAUCCAAGGAGGGAGCGUCGCCCAAGAGAUCCUUUUAGCCCUCUAGAUGAGCGGCGGUCACGACACUGAACCUAGCAUGUCUCAAGACUUUUGGAACCGUCACGUGUGUCNNNNNNNNNNNNNNNNNNNNNNNNNNNNNNNNNNNNNNNNNNNNNNNNNNNNNNNNNNNNNNNNNNNNNNNNNNNNNNNNNNNNNNNNNNNNNNNNNNNNNNNNNNNNNNNNNNNNNNNNNNNNNNNNNNNNNNNNNNNNNNNNNNNNNNNNNNNNNNNNNNNNNNNNNNNNNNNNNNNNNNNNNNNNNNNNNNNNNNNNNNNNNNNNNNNNNNNNNNNNNNNNNNNNNNNNNNNNNNNNNNNNNNNNNNNNNNNNNNNNNNNNNNNNNNNNNNNNNNNNNNNNNNNNNNNNNNNNNNNNNNNNNNNNNNNNNNNNNNNNNNNNNNNNNNNNNNNNNNNNNNNNNNNNNNNNNNNNNNNNNNNNNNNNNNNNNNNNNNNNNNNNNNNNNNNNNNNNNNNNNNNNNNNNNNNNNNNNNNNNNNNNNNNNNNNNNNNNNNNNNNNNNNNNNNNNNNNNNNNNNNNNNNNNNNNNNNNNNNNNNNNNNNNNNNNNNNNNNNNNNNNNNNNNNNNNNNNNNNNNNNNNNNNNNNNNNNNNNNNNNNNNNNNNNNNNNNNNNNNNNNNNNNNNNNNNNNNNNNNNNNNNNNNNNNNNNNNNNNNNNNNNNNNNNNNNNNNNNNNNNNNNNNNNNNNNNNNNNNNNNNNNNNNNNNNNNNNNNNNNNNNNNNNNNNNNNNNNNNNNNNNNNNNNNNNNNNNNNNNNNNNNNNNNNNNNNNNNNNNNNNNNNNNNNNNNNNNNNNNNNNNNNNNNNNNNNNNNNNNNNNNNNNNNNNNNNNNNNNNNNNNNNNNNNNNNNNNNNNNNNNNNNNNNNNNNNNNNNNNNNNNNNNNNNNNNNNNNNNNNNNNNNNNNNNNNNNNNNNNNNNNNNNNNNNNNNNNNNNNNNNNNNNNNNNNNNNNNNNNNNNNNNNNNNNNNNNNNNNNNNNNNNNNNNNNNNAUAUUUAUUAGUAGGCCCAGUAAUUCUGACUACAUUUAACACAAGGCACAUGGUACUGACAAGACGCCCACAAAGUGUUCUGCAAUAGGAUUAGAUCAGACCGGUGCGCAAUCAUGGAUAAGAAUAACACACACGUGCAUUAAAUGUUAGGGGUACGUAUUGCCCCAUUUGUACUUCGUCUUCUACUAUUAUUGCAUCACAAAUACCUUCAAGUACACCCGCUCUACCAGCGCUAUGCCUUCCUCCUCUUCCACCGCCCACUCCUCCUCGUCCUCCAUCCAAAUCAUCAAUCCCAUCGAAGCUACUACAAUUUCUUUCACACUCUAGCGCUGACUACUAGCUCGGAGAGGAAACUUUGAUGCGUUUGGACAUAGUUCUCUCGAAAAUGAAAAUAGUUUUUGACAACUAAUUGUAGUUCCCAGAAUAAACAUAAACAUAAUUUUCUCAUAAAAGAACAUAGUUUUCACAGCUACAGAGAAACAUGAUCCAGCUACAUCAACACGUUCAUCUAGUCCUAUUCACCUUCAUAAAGUAACUCGUCGUCAUCAUCAUCAUCAUCAUCAUCAUCUCCGGCAACAACAACUCCCUUGCCUUUCUUAUCGACAUUAACCUUACCAACAGGUAAAUCAGCAACAAGAGCCUUCAUCGUCUCCAUCUGUGCCUCUUCCGCUUUUUGUUGUAACUCUUCCAUUUCAAUCCUUCUCUUUCUUGCCCUAACUUGCUGCAAAUAUUUUUCCCAUGAACCCUCAGGGUAUUUCACAUUCGGAUCAACCACAUAACCUAAGCGAUCUCUUUCCUCCCUUAACCUUUGUUUCUCCAACUCCCUCUCCUCCUGCAACUUCCUCCUAUUUUCUCUCUUCUCAUUUUCAGUUAGAGGUCGUGGAUACUUGGAUCUAUUUUGCCUCUAAUACUUAAUAAUAGUUUCCCUUGCAUAAAGUCCUUUAGGUUCCACUCCAGUCUCAUGCACCAUAUCUUGAUAUAUUUUCCCCCAAAGUAAGUCGUCGUCAGGAAUAGGCACAUCAUACUUCUUCCUAAUCUUUUCUUUAAUUUCUUGUUGUUUCCUUGACUUCCAUGGUUCCGAUGUAUUUCUCAACUUUAAUAACAAAUCAUAUCGACCACAAAAAUCUUCCCAAUCACAUGUCCUUCCCUCCUGCAACAACAAUUCAAUAUUCUUACAAAUUUGAAACAAGUUACAACCUUCAUAAAACAUAAGAGACGAGUAGUUACUAACCCAGUAAUCGCCAUGUGCAUUUCCACAGAACGAACCAUAUCCAAGUUCAGAAGGCACCACACCUUCUGUUGCUAAUAUACCACACUUGCAUCUAUCACUAGGAGAGGACACACAUGGCCACGGUGCCUUUUCACUUUCGAACUCCCGCACUUCCUCCUCUGUUGGCCACAUUGCCAUUGGGCCGUAUAUAUACUCAUUGAAAUCACACAACGGCCACCCAUCCUGCAAAAAACCCAUGACGUGAACUACUCAUACGUAAAGUAACUACAAAACGCUGCUCCAACUUCCAAGCAAUAAUAUCAAGUAAAUAACAUCAAGUUAAAGUAUGAACAAUAUACUGCAAAAUUAUAACCGCUAGCUAAACGACAUACUAAUAUUCUCGUAAUAUACUUACAUGAGUCUUUAGGGAGCAUCGAAAGAAUGGAGUAAACUUAGGUGGAUCCCCUAAGUUAGGACGCAUAAGCUUAGUAGGAACACCACACUUGCACAUGGGAGGAUCCCUCACACGCCUACAAGCAGCCUCCUGCUUCUGCUCCUCGGUCAUCCUAGGUGGGUUUGGUGGAGGAGGAACCCAACGCCUAAACUGAUGGUAUGGUUUAAGCUCUGUGCUAUGAUAUGGGAAUAGGCGGAUCCUAGGAUCAUAUUUGUCGGGUCCAUCGAUCCACUGAAAGAAAUCACAAGGUGCGGCAGGCAGUGGAUCAAAAGUCCAUUUGCAUACAUAGAAUGCUCUUCCAGCUGUCUUUGGAUGCCUUGAUUGUUUCACCUCUGCUUGCGCGCCACAUCUACAAAGAGGUACCGGAAGGGCAGGAGGUACGGGACCAGCACCAUUGGACUCGCCCACAUAACGCACAUACCACCUACGCCGUUUGUAUUCACAACCAAACGACGCCAUCUCACCUGGAAAUCAAGUGCAACAAAUUUAAUACACAAAUAAACUUUAAACACGUAAUCCAUACAAGCUAUAUACAUCAUUUUGAUAAAAUGUAAAUACUCGAUCUACAAAAUACAAACACUGAAACAAAAAUGAGACUAAUUAAUUGAAGAUAUAAAAAAAAUACAUGUCAUGUAAACCACACAAUUGGAUGAAUAUAUACCUAAAUCGAAGCAUUCAACAAGUUCUACACGUCAAUAUCACGGGCAGAGACUCAAUUGCGUAUGAACUACGUAUCAUCUAACACAAAACACCAUUGCAUUUCAUUGAAAUUUCAAAUCACUAACCUAACCCUAAGUCACCUAAACAUCCUCCGAUCUACCAAAUGCAACGGUAAAACACGAGAAAAAGUAGGGGAAUACCUUCCACACGAAGCAGGGAUCGAUUUUCACUACUUUUCCCCACCCAAAUCGUCGGAUUUUGGGUGGAUUUGGGGGUGGGGCGGUGGGGGCCGGCGCUGCAAGGUGCUGCUGUGUGGUGUGUCUGGAGGAGGAAGAAAGGAGGGAGGGAGGAGGAAGGGAGCCGGCGCGUGGAUCUAGUGCUGGCCCUGCCGCGCCAGCCCAGCGCCCACCUGGCGCCGCGACUCGCCGCGCCAGCAUGGCAGGGGCCGCCGCGCCAGUGCAUGCGGCGCGGCAGCAUGUUCCUGCCGCGCCAGGCGGUCUGGCGCGGCCAAAAGGGUCACCCCGCGCAAAUAAAACCCGGGUGAGGUUAUUUUUAAAAAUAAAGAAAAAAAAGGUUAAAAAUAAAAAAAAGUUCUCAUCCGCUCUCGUUUUCAUUUCGCACCGCCGACUCUCUCUCUCUCUAUCUCCGUCCCCGGCGAUUUCUCCGCUGCACCUUCAAUCCACUCAAACCAGACAAAUCGCGAGGGGCGGAAUUGCACAGCGAAGACGGAGAAGCGAUUUGAGCGCACACGGAGGUGAGUCGUUCGUCGAUUUGCUGCGGGUUUCUCUCUCAAUCCCCCCGAAUGCGCACUAAUUUGGAUUCAUUGUCUCCAACAUUUUUUUCCGAUGGAUAGACGACGGGCAUGAGACCACGGAAGUGAGGAUGAGCUGGGGUGGGGGGCCAAGGGGAGCGCAGUUCUUACCCUGAGAUCCACGCAUGUUAGUGAUUUUUGUGUUUUUGGUUUUGUUGCUAGAUGCCCUUCUAAAAUCUGUCCUCCCAUCGAGCAAUCCCAACUUUUACGUGUGCGUUUUUUACUGCAGAGAUCUCAGCGGAGCGAGGAAGGAUACUUCUGGCACACCAAGGUGUGCUCGCAAAUCCACCUCCCCCAUCGAGCAUAGGACGCAAAAACAACGCUGAGGUAUCUAAGGUUCCCCCUGAAUCCCUGCUUGGAUGCUGCGUAAGAGGACUGUUUUUUCUGAUGCAGACAAUAUCAUUCAUGUUUUACUAUUUUUUAUUUGUGCAAUAGCAUUUGUUAGUUUUGGGGAUUAGGCAGAAUAUUGAGUUUUUGGGGACUGGUACGAUGUUUGUCCUGAGGAGAAAUCUGAGUUCAUGCACGUGACACUGCUGCAGUGAUGUUUAGGCCUACUAUAGGUUCCAUUGCAUGCAAAUAAUUUUACAAUAAAAGUGGCAUGGACAAUAGUACUCUUUUUUUCUUAUUGGCUCUUUACAGUGGUGAUCAAAUUAACCAAAACUGUGAAGUCGGAGAUUUAGUGGUUCAGUAGCUGACCCAAUAACUCGUACUGCUUUUUUGGUAUGACAAAGAUAAAGGUACCCUACAUGUCAGUUUGCUUUGCUUAAGUCUUCUCUUUUUCGGAGCCAACCAAAAUAUACAGGAAUGAUAGGCUUUACUGGAGUUGUGGGAGUUUUUUUUUUCCAAUCUGACUAACCCCCAGCGUGGAUCUAGGCUAUCAAUGCAUGUUACUUAGCUGUGGUCUACACUAUCAGCUAGCCUUUUUUACUCUGAAAUAUUCAAUUUUUUAAUCGAGUAUAUAAUUGCGUACGUCAUUAUCAUAAUUUGCUUACGAGAUUAUAUAAACUGUCUACAAAAUUAUUAUAAAUUGCUUGACAGAUUAUGUAUUUUUCUAUUGUUCUUAGAGUGCAAGAGAAGCAUGAUUAAAGGGUGUGAAAGUAGCAGCUUCUAUACACAGUGGAGAGGGGCCUAGAUGCACAUAAAUGUGAGACUCUGUUUCCAUUCUUUUUGUUUUCUGAUCUGAACUUUUUUUAUGUUUCUUUAAUUGGUUUUCAGAGUAGUUGUAGUAACAUUCUUCCUGUACACAGUUCUAGUAAAUUUUCAGAAUAGCUUUUAGAGUUGGAAUUACCAACCGGGACUAAAUGUUUUGUCCCGGUUGGAAUUAGCAAUCGGGACAAAAGUGGGGGGGGGGGGGGGGGGGGCUUUUUUCCCGGUAAAAAUUUUAAACCGCGCAAAAGGGGGAGGGGGGGGGGAUUUUUUUNNNNNNNNNNNNNNNNNNNNNNNNNNNNNNNNNNNNNNNNNNNNNNNNNNNNNNNNNNNNNNNNNNNNNNNNNNNNNNNNNNNNNNNNNNNNNNNNNNNNNNNNNNNNNNNNNNNNNNNNNNNNNNNNNNNNNNNNNNNNNNNNNNNNNNNNNNNNNNNNNNNNNNNNNNNNNNNNNNNNNNNNNNNNNNNNNNNNNNNNNNNNNNNNNNNNNNNNNNNNNNNNNNNNNNNNNNNNNNNNNNNNNNNNNNNNNNNNNNNNNNNNNNNNNNNNNNNNNNNNNNNNNNNNNNNNNNNNNNNNNNNNNNNNNNNNNNNNNNNNNNNNNNNNNNNNNNNNGGAGUGUCGGUGGGAUUUUUAUGUACGCAUUACAACUAGGACUAAAGGGGGCCGGGACUAAAGCCCCCCUCCCACGCUGGCCUUCGGUGGUACUUUUUUGACCCGGGACUAAAGCCACUUUAGUCACGGGUCCAAUGUUAAUCGGGACUAAAGGGGUUGGAUGGAAGGUCAGUUCUCUACUAGUGAUAUUUGGUUAUUACAGGACAAAGUAAAGAGACCUCCACGAUUGCAUUUUAUCUCUAGUUCAAGUUUUGUAUCUUAUACUUCGUAGGAUGUUUCUAAAUUAAGUUUUGUAUUUGGGGCUGCAUCGCCCAGCACAUAUUUAGGUCUCGUUUGUUUUGGCCGGAACAGCCCGGAAUGAGGCCCGUUCCGGGCGGUUUGGUCCGGCCCUGAAUGAAGUUAGGCCUCAAUUGGAAUUGCUGUUCAGUUGGCCUGCCCUGAAACCAAACCUUGUACGGCUCCCCCCCCCUCAUCCACAUCCACGUCCCAGAACAAACCCGUGCCUCAUCCCUCCGAGAUCGGAGCCUGGCGGCGCACGACGCGAAUACUUGAAGGCACACGAGGCGGCGGCGAGAGGUGGUGGCGCAAGGUGAUUCCGUGGCGGCGUGGCACAUCCCUGACGGUGACCGGCUCCCGUCCAGCCUCCACCCUCUCUGCCACCUUCUCCCCAGUAAGCGCCACCAUCUCUUCCUCCCCCUCUCCCAUCAUCAUGUUCUUGUUCUGGAGGUUUCCAAGCCUAGGGUGUAGUGGAUUCGAUUGUUUGGGGUGUAGUGGACCUCCACUCCCUGUCGCCUAGGGUUCUUUAGUUUCAUUGGAUCUGCGUUGACCGGGUGGGCGAUUCGUGAGUGGAUGGAGACUGGGAGGGGGACGUCGCCGGUGACCGGCCUGAAACUAGAGCAUCGCAAUCUCACACCCAACCACGCCCUUCGCUUUGCUAUCCAGGAUUGGCUUCGUCACUCUCACUCCCUGAUGAUGUAUAUAGUAGUUGCUUUACUCUUGCUUUAAGUUUUUUCUGUACAAAUUGACCAAGAGCUUUAGUACCUUGAAUUCAGAGUAGAAAUGGAUGCCCAAUGGGUUAGUGCAAUGGAAUACAAAAGCAGCUUUCAGUCUGAAACUCUGAAUUCCUUGCUGGUGUAUUCUGUUACCUGUAUAUAUGAUUUUACUUCAUAUAUUUGUCUGAUGGGGUGAGACUAAUUAACAGACUAUGUUGUGUUGAUCUGGUGAACAAAGAACAUGUUUUUCUCUAGAACUGCAGCUACAUCUGAAUCUUUUGAUGGUGGUUUUCAGUAGUUCUUUUCAGUUUCAUUGCAGUAGUUCUUUUGAUGCUGGUUUUCAUGGUGAGCAUUUCAGAAGUUCCUUAGUUACCUGAUUGGGCUGUACUGCUAGUACUAGUACUGAUUGGUUCUGUUAGUUUAUUCAUUUUGUUAUAAAGCAUGAUGCUAUACCAACAAUUCUAGCAGUAGCAGUACAUGAGUAUAGUGGCAUACCUGUUACUAUUUUUUGCUUAACGAAUACCUUUUCUUGUUACUUGUAGAUCCCUCCAGCACCAAGAGCAGAAAACAGAGAGGCUUUCAUAUGUGCCUGCGAAGCAGAUCAAGAAUCAGCUUUGAUUUGGCUAAGAAAUGAGAUGGCUUACCAGGUAAAGUCGUUGUCUACUUAGUUGCUAUAAAUAGCACUUGUUCUGUAUAUUUCAAGUGAGAUGUCACCUAUUAUCAAUUCACAAAGUGUCAAAAUUGCGGAGUUUCAGUUCAAACUUUCAAUUCUGAAACCAUGUCUAGAAAUGGAAUAAUAUGGCUGUAAACAAGUGCAUGUUGUUUAUCAAUUUGGAAUUAAACAUGUGAUCUGAGUUAACACUGUUUGAACAACUAAAAUACCAUAAAGAUAGAACUUUUGGAAAGCAUGUUGGUGCCUUUGGAAGUAUAUUUUCACUGCCAAGUACCUUUUAUAUCUGAAUAUUAGUCAGAUUGUGAUAUACUGUGCUGCUGCUUUUUGUGUGUGCAGGUCUUGAAAGAACAGCAGUGAGUUCAGCCUCGGCUUUUGUUUUCUUUCAUUCGUUCUAAAUUGUAGCGUGAGGAUUGUUCUAUUAUAUUAAGCAAUAUUGAAGCUUUUGUUGGUGCCAUGGGACAUGCAAUAUUGAAGCAAUAUAUUAAGCGAUGUCGUUCUAAAUUACCAUAAAGAUAGAACUGUAUGAUGCAAGUGCUAGCAUAUGUAUGCUCUGCCAACAUGCAUGCAUAUGAAGUAUUCUGUAUGGAUAACGGACAUGAACUUAAUGAUGCUUUUGCUGUAAUUCAGUUUGAAGUAUUCUGUAUGCUCUGCCAACAUGCAUGGGUUUGACCUGGAUUGAUCCAAUCUGUGCCAAAUGAUGGAUUGACCUGUUCGGUUUGAGUGGAUUUGGUAGGAUUUAAUCUUCCUUGGAUUGAGUGACACAGGUGGAAUCAUUCAAACUGGGUCUGAAAGUAAUCCUGGUCAGAAUCCAGUCCGGCAUUGCCGAAGGAGGUCUUAGGUGGAAUCGAAUCACGCGUGGAAUUGAAGAUUCUUCCACAUCUUGCGUUCACACGUGCGGAAUCGAAGAUUCUUCCACAUCUCGCAUUUCGCUCCACGCUCCUUGCUGUUCACAGUGGAUGCUCCCUGAAGUGCUAGCUUUUCGAGUGUGGAAUUCUACCUUCGUGCCAUCAACGCUGAAAACGCGGAGACAAACACGCUCUAAAGAAAUAUUGCAUUUGUUCAUAUUUGUGUAACGGGAUGAAACCAUAUUUCCCUUUUCUAUUCAAAUACAAAUGGACGAGACAUGCACACUUAAUCUUCCACAUGACGAGAUCUUUCUUACCGAAGAAAGGCUUAAAGUACUCUUGCUGCACGAGGUAGUUUGUAUACAUGUACGAUUCUAGCUACGCAAUUGAAAGAUGGUGGUAGUAUAUAUAGGAAAGUUACUCAGCCACUGCAUAAGUAGCCUACUGGCAUGUCCAUGCCCUCUUGCUAUUACCCAGCCUCGUUUUACCACCAGUACGCCCACCAGCAUAUACUCUUCUUUGUGAAAUUGUAGUAGGGGAGAAAAAGGGAAGAGCAUGUGUGCAAGAACUCCUCUUGUUGUGCAUUAAAUGAUCAGAUUUCCGGAAUGGAAGGUCUCUGGAAUCUCAGUUCGUUGCACAAUUCUGGUCGUCCUUCCUUCACAAAUUUAUGUAUGGACCACCCAUAUGUUCUGACAAGCUAGAGCGAGAUAAGUAUGUGAGAAAUUCAAGGUACGUGAGUGAAUGGAUAGUAGCUAAUAGACGUUCCACUGCUAUUCACCGAGCCUUCAUGGUAUUCCGGUACUCAACGCUUCUUGUGCUUGUUUUAGAUCCAUUUGUUCACAUUUGUGUAAAGGGAUGAAACCAAAUUUUCCCCUUUUUCGGUUUUAACAGACGAGACGUGUACUUGUUCAUUCCACAACACGAUCUUUCUCAUCCAUGAAACGCUUACAGCAGUAUCAGCUAGCCUGUAUAUAUAUACAAUUCUAGGAACACAAUUGAAAGAUGAUACUACGAUAUCAUUGAAACAGUUUGGUGCGUUGUAUAAUAUAGUUUAGUUACUCAACCACUGCAUAAAUAGUAUAUUCCCUCUGUUCUAAAUUGUAGGUCGUUUUAACUUUUUAGGUUUAUAGAUAUUAUUAUGCACCUAGAUAUACAAUAUAUCUAGAUGCAUAAUAAUAUCUAUGAACCUAGAAAAGCUGACCUACAAUUUGGAACGGAUGGAGUACUAGUUUAACCAUGCUCUCUUGUUACUCAGCCUCGUUUUACUAUGACGAACAUCAGUACACACACCAGCAUACACUUUGUUGUGAAACUGCAGUAGGGAAGAAAGAGAGAUCAGCAUGUGCAAGAACUCUUCUAGUUGUGCUUCAAAUGAGCAAUUUUUCAGAAUGGAUGGUCUCUGGAAUCUCAGUUGCACAAUCCAGGACGAUCUCGCUUUACCUAAUUAUGUAUUAGAACAUGAUUUUUAUUUGUUAUUAGGGCCUUUCAAAAGUAUCCCCGCGAGCCUGUAGUGAGCACCGGUAGUGAGCCUAAAGCGCGGAGCUGUUGUGCACCUUAGCAGUCGUAACUCCCUGGCAUGCAUCAUGACCGCUUGCUUCUACCUUGUACCAUCCACCUAGAGUCGCCACAUCUCAUGUAGUUCUUCCAAUUUACAUUUCACGUUCAUAAUUCUUAAAAUCUCGAAAAAGAUUCAAUACUGAAAGAAUUUUCAACAAAUAAUGCUAAAAGUUUGUCUAAAACACAUUUAACAGCUGAAAAUGAAUCGGCACCGACUAUAGUACUGUUUUCUGCCUUAGUAAUCAUUGUACUGUUUCUAGUCGCUACUUCCAGAAAUAGGUGUACUUAAAAUAAAAAAUUUCAAGCAUAUUACUAGUUUUGACAAAAUGACCUUGUUGUUCCUGAUUACUCAUGAUUCAAAGUUGCGCUAUCUCUAGCUACUUGUUAUGUUGAUCCUUAGUAGUCCAACCGUGAAAGAAGUUAUAAUUAGUAACUGGAUUUGCGACAUGCAUUUCUCCAAAUAAAUUUGGUUGUUGGUGUGAAAGUUUAAUUAAAUAGAUAUGCCCACAAGCUAGCUAAAAGUGCAGCCUUUGUAGGAAAAAAUUUGAAAUGCUCGAAAUGCACUCAUUUUAGGACAGAGGGUUAGUUCUUAAGUAAAAUUUCCCUUUGAGCCAUGUGUGCCAAUUACGGGGUGUACAAUUAUGUGUCAGCUGGUUGGCAAGCUGUUUAUGAUACACACACAACUUGCAUCAGAAUCUAACACCGAGAGAGUAGCAAGCUAUUUGUGCUACAUGCUAAAUUAACCAAUUACGGGCCUCUGAUGACCUGCUGGUCGUGAACACACUCAUCUGUUGUGCGUUGUUGUGGUCGAGGACAUCUCGAUAAGCACAUACAUGCAGUUUUUUCUUUGUAUAUACAAUAAGAUAAAUAGUUCACUGGAAAAGAAAACAGACAAUAAUAAGAGCACAUGCUUAGCUGUUGUGACAGCAAAACUAUGCUGAUAAUGAAGUGGUAACAGGGAGGGUGAACAGAGAGUACUAGAUAGACCAAGGGGAAAUGGAGAACAGAGGAGGGGGAGCAGAAAUCAAUUGCAAGCAGGGAGGCCAGCAGCAGCUAUGCGGCGUGCCACGGCCGAGAUGAAGGAGACGACGGUAGCGUCCAGCACCAGAGAUCCGACAGGUAUCCUGCGUGGUAGUGAGGUUGUAUGCGGGUCUACGCAUUGCCUCCGCCCCUCGGCGUCCGGGCCACGAUCUCCAUCGCCUAGCUAACGCUCAUCACAACAUGGGGCGGGCUCUCCUCUGCAGCCGCAACUGCAAGGAGGGAGUCAGCGACAGCUGCGGCUGUGAGGAAGGGGGCGACGGGUUCCGCCGAUGCGAGCAGAGAAGGCCGAUUUUCAGGAGACACCUCAUGACGCUGCCAGAGAAUCAGUCAGGUCAUACUCUAUAAAAAAAGAUGUAAAACGUAAAAUAGUGCAAUUGUCUCAGGAUAUACACGCAUUACAAAUACCUACAGAGACAAACAUUUCACUCCACACCAGAAGGUCUAUCUACAAUAAUAUACAGGCCAGUAUAUAAAGUUCCCCACUUAACUGAUGCUUAGAUGGAUUAUCACGAAGAACAACAUAUCGUUGGACUUGAGGCACGUCUAACGUGGCAAACCAGCAGUCGAGAGGAACUCUUGCUCCAGACUGUAGAACUUUUUGCUACCUUGAGAUGAGGAAAGUUCAGAUUUUUUCCCAAAAUCAAUGCCUGAUAACUGAUAGCUGUUUAUAUCACCUUUCAUAAGCAAGGGUUGCCUCUCUUCAUCUUUUCCAGCAGCAGGUUGAUUGGACUCUGCUCGUUUUGUCCUCAGAAAUUGUAGUGCCAUCUCCACUUGCUUCAUAGUAGGUCUUUGGUCACUUUGGAGUCUCACGCACAUCUCCACAAGAGAUGCAACACAAUUUAUUUCUUCUUCAGACGCUUCCUCAAGAACUUGAGGAGCUACUAUUUCCGUAAUAGGCCUAUUCUUCAUCUCCCACAUAAAGUAGUUAGACAAGUUUUGCUUUGUGCCCGACUCACUUGUAAGAAUAGGCUCCUUUCUUACAAGCAAUUCCAAGAGUACCACACCAAAACUAUAAACAUCACUCUUUUCAUUUAAUUGCCCAGUAUGGUAAUACUCUGGAUCUAAGUACCCAAACGUUCCUUGGACAUUGGUAACUACAUGUGUUUGAUCUAUUGGAACCAAUCUUGAAGCACCAAAAUCUGACACUUUAGCGGUAUAGUUGGAGUCAAGGAGAAUGUUGGAUGACUUCACAUCACGAUGGAAAACUGAUACUGAAGCUGCAGAAUGGAGAUAGGAAAGAGCCCCAGCAGCUUCGGCCGCAAUCCGGAGGGAGCCAUCCCAUGACAAAACUAAUUCGUUACUUGAACCACCAUGGAGGAAGUCAUAAAGUGAGCCAUUAGGGAUAAAAUCAUACACCAGUAGUGGGACCUCGGUCUCGAGACAACAUCCAAAUAACUUAACAAUAUUCCUAUGGUUUAUUUGAGAAAGAAUUGCAACCUCAUUUAUGAACUGAUUAAUCUCACCUUCCUCAAUAAUUUUAGACCGCUUUAUUGCAACCACACGUUGGUCCGAUAAGAUGCCUUUGUAAACCGUACCAUGUCCACCCCGGCCUAGGAUACGUGUGGAAUCAAAAUUAUUUGUUGUCUUUUCAAGCUCCUCCAGAGAGAAAAUCUUUGUCUUUUCACUAGCAUUUUCAUCAGAUAAUAUUAGUUGUUCUAGGAGUAGGCCCUGGUUUCUACGGAAAUACAUCCUACGCAGUCGUUUUUGGAUGUUUCUUUUCCAUUGACGAGUGAGGUAUAUUCCACCAACACUAAGAAGCAGAACUGUAAAACCGCUGCACAUACCGAUAAUAACACCUGAAAAAUUGUACCUAUGAGUUCCAUUUUAAUACAAACUAUAAAUAAUAGGGAAAUUUGUCUACAGGACACUAAAAAAUACAAACUUUUCUAUAGGACACAGCAGCAAGUUUUAUUAUCUGUAGGACACCGUCAAGUGUCCUCGAGAUAACAAACUGAGUGUCAUAUUGACAAAACCAGGUAAAUGUAGUGUUCUGUAGAUAAAUUUCCACUAACAAUAUCUCAAAAAAUAUACUUCUUACCUAAGAGAGCAUUUUGUUGUUUCAUUGACGAGCACUGUAAUUUGGUUGGAUCAUAUACUGUCUUCUCAGGGCAUGGGGUACAGUAGAAGCUUCCUAAAGUAUUGUGGCACGUUCCUUGACAUCUGUUUGGUUGUAUACACUCAUUAACAUCUGCAAAUUAAGCACAUGUAUCUUUUUUAGGUAGCCAGAAUUUGCUAAAACCUUUCAUAGUUUACUGAUAUAAUCAAAUGUAAAACCAAAGGAAUAAUUACUUCCCUACUUCAAGACGCCACAUGCACCAUAAUGUUGUAUAUCAUCUUCACAUUAUUAAGACAUCUAUCGAAAAGUUCAUAUACUCCCUCCAUUUAUUUUUAUAAGACGUGAUAUGACAUGGCACGGUCUCCCAAAUUACACUUUGAUCAUUAAUUUAUCUUAUCUUAUAUUAUUUAUAGUUAUAAACUUAUAAUUAUUGCAGACUACAUUUGAUUACAAAUCCAACCAUGUCAAUUUUACAUCAUAAAAAUAAAAAAAAAAUAUUUGUUAAAUUAUUGGUCAAAGAUAGCAAUGUUUGAAUCUAGCUAUGCACGUACACUUUAUAAACAUAAAUGAAGGAGUAUACACCAUCAUUAAAUGCCUCAGGUAACAACUAUACUAUACCAUUGACAAAUUAGUUAUUUAGACAAUGCAAAUAUCGUAUUUUUUGUCAUCCAUAUGUAAUGCAUGGCAGUUCAUAACUUCAGUACAAGGUAAAUUCUGAAUAAACUAUAAAUUGUAAUAUUUUACGAACACAAUAUUUAUGCAUAUAUCUUUUAAACUGACAUGGAUACUUGGGAAAAUUAAGGAAAUAAUGAAUUCAAAAGCCACCCCUGAUCUAGCCACACAAUAGAACGUUGCAACACAAAAGUCGCACGUUUUUUGUGUGAAAUACCUACAUGUGUGGUUACUAAGCUUUAAACACAUGACCGCCCCUCUAAAACGACCCCAAUUAGAAUCCACAGUGUAAAACAUUGUCAUCUGGUAUGAGUAAAAAGUUUACUACACAACUGAACUAGUUGGCCUAGGCAUUUCUGAUCUUUAACGCAUGGGCUGGGCAAUAUGUAUAAGAUGGCUGUGGUUACAAAACACAGAACACAAUAGGCUUUGGUCCAUAUUUCGAAUACAUGUACAUCAUUGUGUUCAAGCAUUCUUCUCCAAGGCUAUUGGUACUAAGGUUGGAUAUUGUGCGCACACUCUUGUUUGGAAAGAGAUAUGGCUUCAUGGGCAUAUAAUCUCUCUUCCACCUUAUCUCUUUGCUUUGGUGGCCAAGUGAAGGGCUAACAAGCAAACUAUAUUGGAGGCUCUUACUGAUAAUGCCUCCAUUGCUGACAUGCAAGGGGCCCUUACAGUGGGUGUAAGUGCUGGAUAUUUGGACCUUUGGGAUCUCAUCCUCAGGCUGUGUUGUUGCAGCCUGCUAGUGUGCAGGAUAAACAUGUUUGACGCCUAUCUUCUUUAAGGGAUUAUUCGGCUAAGUCAGAAUAAGAGGGAUUUUUUCGAGGUGCGGUUCAGUUUGAACAUUGGCAGUGUAUUUGGAUAUGUCACUUCUUCAUAUGGCUUGUAGCAUAAUCCCUCCAUCCCAAAAAGAAUACCAUCCUAGAAUCAAAUUUUGUCCCAAAAAGAAUGCAAUCUGGGAUUUAAGCAUCGUGCAUGCAUAAUAUAGUACGCUAAUCUAGCUCGUGCAUGCAUGAUUAAAUAGAAAUGGAUUGCCUCCAUCUUCUCUAUGCAAACACAACUAACUAAAGGCACAUGCGUCUUUUUCAUUCACCCCUAAUUUGUAUGAAAAAUUCCACGAUGUUGUUCAUUUUCGGAUGGAGGGAAUAUGUGAUAGAUGUUGGAUGGCUGAUCGCCUUACUUGUUGAAGCUUACAGCAUCCUGAGCACUAUCCUCUCUGUGACCAAGAGGCGGGAACAAUUAACCACUUGCUUGUACUGUGAUUUUGCCCAACAGUUUUGUUUCUGUUCUACAGAAUGUUGGCCUACAAAGCUUGACUCGGCAACCUGCUGAAUCUUCCUCUAAUGGCUGCUGGUGGUCGUGGAGUAAUGAUUUGGUUGGACUGGCAAGUACUACAAGAAUUAAAUUCCAUCACUAUUCUAGGGGCUUGGUAUCCAUGGAAACACAUGAAUCAGUGUGCUUUUUAUGGAGGAUCAAGUUAAGGGGCUCUCUCUCUUAUUUGCCCCGAGCCCGAAAAUGUAAUGAUGAGCUUAAGGUCAUAGUGGGUUCUCUUUUAGUUUAAAAGGUGUGCAUGUUUUCCUUUAAAUAUCUAUGGUUUGUGGUGCAUGGUGUUGUAUGUGUUUAUCACACACUAUAUAUCCUUCUUAAUAUAAUGAUAUCCAGCUUUCAUACAUGUCCUAGAAAAACAACUUUAAAUGAAAAAUAUCAACUGCGAGAACGUAGAUCUCGUUGAUACUUAUAAUUUUCAUAUAGAGUUUAUUUUAUCCAUCAGAGUCUAUAUGGAAAAUUAUAAAUUUUUUAAAUAAGAUAAAAUUCAAAUUAUACGUAGGAAAAUAUGUGGGCUGGCUCAUGGAGGUAUCAGUGGCAGUGAUGAGGAGAAUAAUACCACCGGUCCAUAUCUUUGACCAGCUGUGAUUUUGCUGCCUGCAGGACAGCAGUUACCAAAAAUCACAAUUUCUGUAGUAGUAUUAAGGACAAAAGUCGCACAUAUAAUCGUGAACAUAUUUUUGCUGGUGAAUAACCCAUAAGGGCUUUGUCUGGUACAACUUUCUUAUUCGUGUUGGUAUUUGGCUCCAAACUUUACUAUUACGGAUGAGCGCGCUGCUAGAAAAAAUGUUUUGUUGUAGUAUCUAGUUGAUACUAGAAACAUUUUAGGUAUGUAGUUAAGUCACACUUAAAAAUAACAAUUUCCAAUAUAAAGAUAUGUAUUUAGCAUAUAGGAUCAUAAUUUUGUACGGGAAGGAGAGUUUAGUUACCUUCGCAACCACUAUGGAGGUAUGGAUUUCCGUGGUACCCGUAGGAGCAAUUGCAUCGGUAACCAACAUAGUCACUUGUAGAAUUAACUGGAAUGCAAUUGCUAUUUGCGCUAACACAUGCAUAUCCAGAGCUAUUUGCCUGUGCCUCUUGACAAGUUAGAUUCGCAACAACCCAUUUCAAAGAAACUGACCCACCUGAGCUAACAAAAAUGCCAGGGCCGUCGUCAGAAAAAUAUCUAACUGAUCCUUCAUCAUCAUCAGGGAUUGUGUACUUGAUAAGCCCUUCGUUAAUAUUGAUCUCUGUCACAAGAUAGUAUUCAUCCAGUUGCAGGGUAGAAGUUGUCACAUUUGUGCAGUUGAGAAAAAACUGUUCUCUACCAAAACAACCUUCUUCAAUCCCAAAUGGAAAAGGAACCGUGAUGUUUCCACAAACACGGCUGCAAUUGGCUUUUUGUUGCGCUGCAGGAUUGUAACCUAAUUCCAGUAGAAAAGAAUUCACAAUGAGUACUAUAGAAAAGUAGUACUUUUUCUUUUGGCAGGUAAUACCUUUAUCUAAUAUGUUAAUAGAUGCUAUAGUGUGACCCAGAAUGGGAUGAUUACUAUCUAGCUAUGUUGAAUAUAAGCCACCACAGUAGUUUAAAGAUAAAGAAAAUCUGGGACAAGUUCCUCCAAAUUCUCUUACUACUUAUUUUAGAGGAUCCAAAGUUAUAACUUUAAGGAUAUAGUUACCGACUCACGAAACCUACCGCACUUUGUAUUCUGCUCAACACACCCUGACACCCAUUAUGGUUCUCUGGCAUUUUUGACAACUGUGUCAAUCCUAGGAGAUUUUUUAAUUCGGAAAGAAAAUGAAUGGAAGAAAAGUAGUACAUACUGAAUAUCGAUUAUGCAAAUACGUAAAGUAUUGUAGUUUUGUUGGUCAUAUGAGUGACUAUGCAGUUGGCAUAUCUACAACAUCUGUAGAAAGUCAAGCAGGGCCAUUUAUAGUUUGCUGAAUUUCUACGGGUUCCUUUUAACUGCCCUAUAUAUUGUACCAUUUUUUGAAGACGUAAACACCGCUUCUAUUAAUAAAUAAUAAAUCUAUAUAUCUGAAUGGUCUCGGGCUUAAGUUCUCAAUACAGAAAUCGAGUGUAAUGAAAGAAGAAGCUGGCUUUCUUACAACUGGGUAGUGUUAAUACCUCUGUCUCGCGAGCAGCCACUUUUUAAAUAUGGGUUGCCCACGUAACCUGAAUUGCACUUGCAAUAAUACCCAAUAUACUCAAAAUCAUAAGGAUCGAUACAUUGGCUAUUCUUGCCAACACAAGCAAAUUUUGCAUUAUUCUCCUUGGCACUCGCACAGUUUGGUUGAUCGACGAUGUUCCAGGAGAGGUCAGCAUCAACUGUAGUUACGUUGAUGUAAUCCCACAAAGAGCUCCGAUUAUAAUUUACCUCUGGACUGCUUUCUCUGUGACGGACAAAUGUGAGAUUAAAUGCUCGAACACUUGUCUCCCAUCUGAACGUGCAACAUCCUGUGCCGUUGCAGUUUUGCCUAGCCGCCAUGUCCGUGAUAUCACUGGUAGGACAUUUAAGUGUGCAGACCGGCGAUGUUCUAUUCAUAUACCGAUCACUAUAAUAUAUGUCAAAGUCGCAACCAGUGAUAUUCAUCGAGAUAUAAGAAAUUGUAAAUGAAUUCCCAGGAGAACUCCACGACAUGUUGUAUGUGUGAACACCAUAACUCACUGGGAUAGUACUAUUUGGAAAAUUGAUCUGAAUAUGUGGGCUCGAACUGUAGAGAUACCCUGCAUCCACUGUGACAAUAUUGUAGGCAACCUGGGUGAUGCCAUCAUGUAGAAGGAGAGUUGGGGGCUGAGCAGACUCGUUGCAGGUAAGCUCGAAGUCACCACCACGGGAACAACGAGGCCCGAUGCCAAAAGGAUAGCUGAAGGUCAAGUCUCCACAGCUCGUCUGGCAACCGGAGAGGGUGGGGAUGGUGGAAACCGUGCCAUUGCUCUCUGCUUGGCUUCCCAGCACGACGGAUACCAGCAUCAAUAGUUGAAUCCCCAGCAGUGAACGGAGGAGCAAUAAUGGAAACAUCCUCCACGCCGGGACUUUUGUAUGUUAUGUGGUUUGCAGUUUCAAUGAUGAAGGAAUAGCUCGAAAACAGGGUAUGCAUCAUUAUAUAGAAUUAUGUUGGGGCAACUUAGUCAUUUCCAUUGACUACACAGUAUAAUUGUGGGGCUAAAGGUUGUCGUCUUUUUUCUUUUUUCUCCACAUGCAUUUUCCAGUUGUCAAAUUUGGCCGGUUCGAGAACAAUAGUCUACUGCUUGCCUUUUUGGGUCCACAACACCAAAAUAUGGAGGCCCUAACAAAAAGAUCAAAAUAUCAAGGGAUUUGAUACUUUUGUUUAACGAGAAAACAAAUAUGUGGAUAACCCUCCAAAUCCAACCUAGUGCCUACUUGUAACAUAAAUGCAGUGUCGAUCUUGCCAAUCUCAACUAGCCCCUUAAUUUGAUUUUCUGACUCCUCUUAUGAUUUCUCACAUAUAUAACUCGGUGGGUGAGAAAUCAAAAGAACGAUUUAGAUUCGCCGUAUGAAACACGUGGUAUCCAUCGGACCAGGUAUGCACGCAGUUAGAUUUGGAGCAGUCAUACAUGUAAGUUUUUUUAUGUGUGGCGUAGCCUUUGUUUUCCAUACACUUCAGUGUCACAACUAUAAUUAGCGAUAUGCAAUUAUAUUAUCUGCAUUCAAAUGUAUUGGCAAAAAAUUUGUUUUUUCCUAGACUUGAAUUAACUUUGUUGGGAUCUGGACCAAUUAAGAAAGUCCCUACACGAUUUAAAUUAAAAACCCAAUUAGCUAUUAUAGAGAAUCAUUUUCGUAAAACUUCAUAUAUAUGGUCAGUCAACUAUUAGCGUGACAAAUCAGCAAAACAUUAUUUUCCACACAAGACAUGUAUGGACGACAAUGAUGAAUAAUUAGUGCGAGAUGUCCAUACGAGACCAAUAAGAGGCUUGAUGCUCUUGUCGUUGGACCCAUAACACCAAGUCGUCCAAUGUUAGUCAUCAGUUAGUUGCAUUGUCUCGCUCCACGCGCUAAAACUAUUCUAACCCGUAGAAUGGGGCAGCAGCAUUCAUGAUUUCGACACCUUCAUUAGAGGCAGUAAAUAGCAUUGGACUGAUGUGUGGUACAGUUGUUAACAAAGAAGACGUCAAUUCGAAAAGGGACUAGAUUUUUCCAUGGAAACAAGCUGGAAUUCCAAUCUCCAGUAGGGAUGUUUGGAUACUAGGUGCUAAACUUUAGCAGUGUCACAUCGGAUGUUCGGAUGCUAAUUAGGAGAACUAUGAGCUAAUUAUAAAAAACUAAUUGCAGAACCCCUGUGCUAAUUCGCGAGACGAAUCUAUUAAACCUAAUUAAUCCAUCAUUAGCAAAUGGUUACUGUAGCACCAUAUUGUCAAAUCAUGGACUAAUUAGGUUUAAUAGAUUCGUCUCGUGAAUUAGACUCCAUCUGUUCAAUUAGUUUUGUAAUUAGCCUAUGUUUAAUACUUCUAAUUAGCAUCUUAAACAUCCGAUGUGACAGGUGCUAAACUUUAGCGGUGGGUAUCCAAACACCCCUUUAGUGGGCGAGUUAGGCAUUGAGUCCACGACUCAGAACAGUCUACAAAAAGACUUGCUUGGCCAACAACGUUGACGGAUUUUUGUAGCCGUUAUAUAACUAUUUUCACUAGAGGUACGUGACUGUUAUUUUGACGCCCAUUACCCGCUGGUAAAGCUGGUAACGGACUACGUUAAUGCCCAUUACCUACAACAUAGAACUUGACACAGCUGCUCCAGCAGGCACAUGCGGCUAUGCCCGCGACUGUAGUGGGCUAGCUGCCUUCGAUUGGUUGGCUUGCUAGCUGGUAGGCAGAAACUUUUGUCCAGUCCCCACCGGCUGCGUCAAUAUUGCUUGGCUGGUUGCUGGUUUCCGUAGCGAAUCAUGCAUUUACAAAGUCGUUAGGUACUUAGAAUGUUGACAUCAUGGACCCUCUCCCAGAUACAGGUCUUUUUCCUUAAAUAUUUCCUCGUCGCCGUGAGGCGAUCUUGAAGCUGCCUGAUGCUCCUUGCUCUGAGGAACAUGCUUGGUAUUUCAAUAACAACUUGUAUGUCUCUCAUGCAACACCUAUAAUUAAUGUUUCUUGUUUUCGUCCAGAAUGACCACGCUCCGUUUGCUGCCACUGCCCAUGUGCUGAUUAAUUUUGCUAGUUUACAGUGCAACAGAGGUAUAUGUUUCGCAAACAAAGAUGAAACUUCUCUACAUAUCCAUAGUAGACAUACGGGUAAAGAAACAUGCAUGUAAGGAAAAUGGCGGUCAAAGUCAUUGUUCUGAUUUUAGGGAUUGAGUGACAUCAAUGUAAAUAGGACUGAUAUGUUUGUCAAAGUCUUUCAUCCUUGUAGGAUCUUUACCAUGUCCAUGUCCAUGCCCUAGGCCACGGCCGUGCCAUGUCCCCUCCAUUGGCCGACACGCAUACACUCGUGCCGGUGAGUGUAACAACCUAAUUUUCAAACUUUUCAAUUAAUAAAAUUUGUUAGAAUUUAAUUGCACAUGACUAAGGAAUUUUAAGGUUGCAUUUAAAUUUUCUUUAGCAUUUAAAUCUUUCUCAAAGUAAAUUAACGAAUCAUAGGAGUUCAUUGGCAUUAUUUUUUUUGGCUGCUUGAAUUCAAAUUCGCAUUUGAAUUCAUUUGUUUGAAUAUUUUUAAACAAUAGGAAAUCAUUUUCUUUUCCUAUCCCUUUCCUUUUCCUCUUUCGGCCCGUUUCAUCAGCGCAGCAAUAGCCCCAGGUCGGCCCAGCAGCGCCCUCCGCACCGUUCCGCUUCCAGCCCAGCUCCGUAGCGCAGCCGCCUCGACCCAUCUUCCCACGUCAGCCCACUCCCGUGCCGCCUCCGCUCCCGCUGCUGACAGACGGGGCCCACCUGUCAUUCCUCUCCUCGCGCCGCACCUGAACCGGACUCCAGUCUGAGUUCCGGACGCUCCCGUCCGCCCGUGCCUUCCUUGGCCUGCACGCCAAGACGCCCUCCCAGGCCUAUUUAACCUGCCACCGCACCCCCUCAACCCCACCAAGAAAACCCUAAGCUCCCACGCCCUAGCUCUCGAGUUGUCGCAACCCUAGCUCGCGCUUGCCGCCAAUGACCCGCGCCGCCGUUGCCUUCCAGUCAGCAGAAACACCACCCAGAGCACCGCAAGGAGGUGGCGAAACCUCCCGUGAAGAUCUCGUGCACUCUUGUGCUUCCUUUCGCGUGCACGAGCUUGCUGUAGUUGAGCUCCUCCGCUCGAGCCGCCCCACCACGUCGCCCUUCGCCUCCGUUGCCUUGGCUGCCGUGGGAACCACCUAGAUCGUUUUGCAAGCUCCCCAGCUUCAUCCCAAGCUAGUCCGCAUCGAGUUUUGUGGCUGGGAACUCGAGCUUUGCUCGAUUCCGGUGAACUUUGCCACCCAGUGCCGUCGAGCGCCACCGCCCACCGCCUCGUAGCGCCACUAGUCGCCCGAUCCUGAUCGAACGGCUCAGAUAAGAUCUGACUGGAGUCAAUCCGGCCACGUACCGGUCAACCUUGCCACGACGUUGCUCUUUUGCUAAAGAGAUCCUGAGUUAUCUUAUUUUUGCACCCGAGGUCCAGUGCAGUUCAAAAGUAAUUAGAUCUAGGUUGUUUUUCUUCCAUUUUAGCCCCUGCUUUUCUUAGUUUUUAUGCUUGCCAUCCUAGAUUUGCUCUUUUACACUAUAGACCUUUGGUUUCUACGCAUAAUGAGAUUUUAGCCCUUGGUUUAUUUAAGUUUAGCCCCUGGAAGUUUACUUUUCUUGCAGAUAAGCCCUUACAUCUUGUCUAGGCUAUAUCUUUAGCGUUUUAGAUCCGUUUUGAAUGAUUCUUGCGUCUGUGAGUUUGUCUUAAGGCGUAGACUAGUUUUAUGAACUUUUUUUUCCUUGUUGCUACUGUUUGGUGUAUUUUUUUAUUAUUUUAGUUCUUUGUUUGCUUGUAUGUACUUGUUUGAUGCAAGUAGAAGGACCGCAGUUCGAGGGAUUCGAAGAUCAAGCCUUUGAAGACUUCAAGCAACAAGAGCAAGUUCACGAAGGCAAGUCAUGCCCUUGAUCACAAUUUGAUCCUAUGCAACCUUUACUUUUAUGUUCAAUACAAUAUGCUAUGCACAUUAGGUUAUAAACAUGAUAGUUCCUAUAUAAGGUUUGCCUUGUUUUAUCCUUAUGCCUUGAUCAACCUGGGUUUAUAUCAUGUUGGAUAGUUCUUGCUUAGUUGCUCUAUUUGGGUACGAUGGUAUUAAUGAACCAAUGUUUAAACUUGUUUUAUUUAUGUUGUAUCUUUCAUUAAUACAAGAUCACCAUGCUUAAUUGGAACAUGGAGAACCCCCUAGGAAAACAGUACAACCACAAGAACUACAUGGCUCUGGUGUUGGCUAAUUAAUUAGAUACUCUAGUCUGGGUAACCUUAUCGAAAGGUCAAGAGGGGAGGCAUUGAUGGGGUAUAACCCGGCCCUCUGGCUGAUCUGCUCUAUGGUAGCUUCAUAGUUUUGAGAGAGGUUUAUGCUCUGCUUCGACUUGAAACCUUAGUGGGUUACUAUUUACUCGGGAAUCUUUGUAAAGGCCUCAUAGCGUCCCUAUGCAAUCACACCUCGGAAGUGUGGUAUUGUGCUUGGCUGGCACAACAUGGUUGGAUCUAAAGUUCUUUUGAAAUUUUACGUGACUUGUGGGUAAAGAUGUACAACCUCUGCAAAGUGUAAAACUGAUCGAUCAGCCGUGCUCAAGGUUAAGAGCGACCUGGAUCCUCACAUGAUUAAUUUAUCAGGAGUUGAAUUAAAUUGAAGUUAUUUAUUUAUUGUUAUCUUUAUUUAUGUUCAUGUUUAAUUGGGGUGGUAUAAACUUAUACUUAGUAAUUGCUAAUAAAACUUUACUAGCCAAUUAAAAUGCUGAAAUAUUAUUAGACCUUAGCCCAUCCUUGAAUGGCCUUACACUACACAUUCCUCAUGCUUGUUGAGUACCAACCAUAAGUGUACUCACACUUGCUAAAAUCACUGCUCACACCAAUUCAAUCUCGAGGAGGUCCUUCAAGACUUUGAGGAGUUCUAGGAGAAUGUGUGCCACUAAUCAACUGCCUGUGGAGUUGUCGUCAUUGUUGGAGUUUUGCUACUAGAAUAAAGACUCAUUUGCUAUUUUAUUUAAAGACCUUUGGUCAUGUAAUAAAUUCAAUACUCUCUUUAUGUUUUGGCAUUGUCUAUGGUACUUACUGAAGUCAUUGCAUGUGUAAAACUUAAUCCUAGCACACAUGUAAUUUAUUCAUCUAGUUUUGCCUUUAAAACCGGGUGUGACAAAAGUGAUAUCAGAGCUGAGUUGACUGUAGGACGUUAUCCUAGUUACAAAAUGGUCGAAUUUAAGGAUUAUAAUGCUUUGGUAGCCAUUCUUACUUAAUGUUUUCUUUAAAUCUACUUUAAAAUGCUUAUCCUUUCUAUUAUCCUAUCUCCAUUGCUCUACUUGUUUCUUUAUCUUGUUUUCUACAUUCUUUACACUCUAUGCUUCUUGAUGAUCUUGAUGAUGAGGUCCUUCAAACUCGCCCUAUGAUCUCGAUGAUCACUCCUUCGCCCUAUGUUAGUGUUUUAUAUCUUGGUGGGGGAUUGUCGGACCUAGAACUCGAAGGUAGAAGUGAGAAUACAAGACACAGAUUUAUAUAGGUUCGGGCCGCCAGAGUAGCGUAAUACCCAACGCCCUGUUUGGGAAGUUGUAUAUUACGCCCUGCGCUUAGGUGUUACAUAGCCUGAUUGUUGGCUAUUGAUGAUGGUUCUAUGAGGUCUUGGCCUUUGUUGAUCUGAGCUCUGACGAUCUAGAUACCCCUACCCUCCUUUAUAUACUCCACGAGGCGGGAUAACUAGUUGGUUAUAAGGAGGAGUCGUAGUAGGAUUACAUGGUAUGAGCAGGUAUUAGGGAUCUAUCCCUGACAGGUGGAUAUCCUAUUUGCUAGUCUAUGUCGUGCUGAGUUUGAUCGUGUCGAGGAUCUAUAUCUUGCUCAUGAUAUUUGGUCCAAACUCUAGAGUUUCCAUGAGGGGAACAGUUAGGUGAAGGCACGACUCUUUGAGACUUACCGAUGUGAGUAUGAAAACUUUAUUCAUUUGAUCAGUGAGUUAGCUGAUGCUUUGUUCCAGCGCUUUCUUACUAUUGUGAACAAGAUGAGAGCAAACAUCACCAUCUUACCCUACACUGAUCAUGAUAGAGCUUUAAAGCUCCUGCAUGCUUUGGACCACGAGGUGUGGGUACGAAGGUUGAUGCUAUCAUCGAGUCCACAAGCUAUGAAACUCCUGCAGUUGAUGAACUUUUUGCCAAGCUGAAAUUGACAGAGGUUGACAAGAGGCUCCGAGCUAAACAAGGGAGUCCUACUAAUCCUCAUAGUAUGGCUCUUGUGUUAGGCUCUAGAUAGUCUAUGUCUUUGGCUAACCCUUCCACUAUGUCCUUUGCUUUGUCUUCUUUGUUGUCUGUUUUAGAGCAGUUGGAGGUUCUUGAGGAUGAGGAGCUCGCCUUUAUCAUGAGACGGUAAUCGCAAGAACCGGUGAAGGAACAACAACAACUGCUUCGAGUGUGGCAAGUCAGGACACUUCGCCGCCGACUGCCCCGACAAGAACAAGUCCAAGAACGGGUACGACUACAUCAAGUACAAGUACAAGGACAACGAGAAGAAGAAGAAGUAUACCGGUCGUGAGAAGAACGAGCACUGCAAGAAGGCUAAAGCACGUGCCUUCAUCACCUCCCUCAGCAAGAACGGGUACUAGUUCCUUGUAUGGAAUUCACAUAACAAAUUUGCAUAACAUUUCAUUCUUUACAACCUAAAAAUGGGCUUCAUUCUUUUUUGCUAUAGUUUCUGAUGAUUAUUGUUACUUUUUUCUGUCUAUAUUAUUGUCACUCAAGCCCGCAUCUUAUAUAUGAAUGCAUGCACUGAAAACAAAGUUAAGGUGUCUGUGUGUUGUUUAUACAGAGAGUGGAUCGAGGUGUCUGGCAUAAUAUUUUUUUGACAUUCCAAUUUUCUUUCCUUGUAUGUUAUAUACAAUAGUUCUAGUUAUUGCAAUGCAUGGGAGCAGCAAAACUGCUAUAUUUUUUUUAUUACUUUCCCAAGUUCUUAAAAUUAUCACUUCAUGCUAACAGAAUUUAUGGUUUUAAGCUACACCUGGAGCAGCAUACUGUGGGUAGAGCUGUGCUACCGAAACAUAGCUGGCUGGAAAUUUGUACUGAGGUAGGAAAUGAGGUAGCUUGAGUCUGUAAAAAACAUCAUCAGGCUGUUUUGCUUUCGAAUUAAUGUGGCUCCAGUUCGUGUCAUGCCUUCUUGACUGAUUGGAUGAACCCAAUUGCUUGGGAAUGUUAAAGAUAAAGAGUUUGGUUGUAAUUGGAAUAGGAUAUCUGGAAGAUUAUCUUUGGGCGGCUGCUAUUCUAGUUGUAACAGAUAUGUAUUUUUAAAUUAGUUUGGCCAAAGAUAUCUCCUAGAGAGGUCCUAUAUAUUGUAAUUUCCUGUGUGCUAUUUUGCACAAUAUUAUAACACGCAACCGUUGCACCCUUAAGGUUGGGGCAACAUUCCACGCAGCGCAAGCACCUCUGUUACCUUUCAUGGUAAUCGGAGCAUAGAAUUAGAUCCAUGGCUUCAAGCUCAAGUGUCUCCAAUCCCCUACUCGGCGUUCAGAUCAUAGAGAAGCUGAGUAAGAGCAACUAUGCGCUCUUGAAGGCGUAGGUGCUCACCGCCCUACGUGGUGUUCGGAUGGAAGGCUUCAUCACCGGCAAGACCGGCGUCCCCUCACCUGAGAUCGAUGACAAGCUGUCUGACGGCAAGAUCGUCAAGGUGCCAAAUCCAGCAUAUGAAGAGUGGUAUGCCCGGGAUCAACAGGUCCUUGGGCUCAUCUUCUCAAGCGUGGGGAAGGAUGCCCUCACGCAGAUUGCUGCUGCAAAGAUGGCAGCACAGGCAUGGCAAGAGAUCGAGAACAUGUUCACCACCCAAACUAGGGCUCGGUCGAUGAAUGUGCGCCUAGCAUUGACAACUACAAAGAAAGGUACAUUGUCAAUUACUGAAUAUUAUGCCAAGAUGAGAUGGAGGCCUCUGGAAAGCCGCUAGAUGAUGAAGAACUUGUCGCGUAUAUCGUCAACGGAUUGGAUUCAGAAUUCAAUCCUGUGGUGUCGACGCUCGUCACAAGGGUCAAACCGAUCUCGGUUACUAAGCUCUACUCCCAGCUACUUAGUUUCGAGAAUAAGCUUGAACUCCAAGAUGGCUCAGGAUCCUCCAUCAACAACAUUGUUAGGGGCAGUCGAGGCUCUUCUGGAGGUCACAGUGGUGGGAGCCGUGGCCGUAGCUCUAGGCAUGGUGGCCAUGGUGGUUUUGGUCGCGGAUGCGGGAACCAGAACUAGCCGCGGCUCAAUCCAGGAAGCCAGCACCGCCCAUCUGGAAGCUCCAACGAUAGUCGCCCUCUCUGCCAGGUCUGCUUCAAGAAAGGGCACCUCAUCUCUGAUUGCUGGCAUCGCUACGACGACACUUACGUCCCCGAUGAGUGCCUCGUUGCUGCUGCCUUCAACAACUCCUACAGUGUGGAUACUAAUUGGUAUACCAACAUUGGGGCUACGGAUCAUGUCACAAGCGAGCUAGAGAAGCUCUCCUUCCGUGACAAAUACAAGGGAGGUGAACACAUUCAUACAGCAAGCGGCACAGCUAUGGAGAUCAAACAUGUUGGUCAUACUAUUGUUCCAACCUAUUCUAGAGAUUUACAUCUUAAAAAUGUCUUACAUGUUCCUCAAGCUACAAAAAAUCUUGUCUCCGUUCAUCGCCUAGCUAAAGAUAAUUCCGCCUUCAUUGAAUUUCACCCUGAUUAUUUUCUUAUCAAGGAUCAGUCCACGAAGAACGCGAUCCUUAGAAGGAGAUGUCACAAGGGUCUCUACCCUCUUCCUGCAGUGCAUCCAGUCAAGCAGGCGUUUGGAGUUGUCAAGCCAUCCCUUGCACGGUGGCAUAGUCAUCUGAGUCAUCCUGCUUAUCCCAUUGUUAGCAAGAUUGUUAGCAAUAAUAAUCUACCUUGUUUAGUUGAGAAUAAUAAAGAGUCUGUAUGUGAUGCUUGUCAAAAGGCAAAAAGUCAUCAAUUGCCUUAUUCUAGAUCAUCGAGUGUCUUUAGUUUUCCCUUAGAACUUAUUUAUUCAGAUGUCUGGGGUCCUGCACCCACUUCUACUGGAGGAAAGAAAUAUUAUGUUAGUUUCAUUGAUGAUUAUAGCAAAUUCACAUGGAUUUAUUUGCUCAAAUUUAAAUCCGAGGUUUUUCAAAAGUUUCAUGAGUUUCAAAGUCUAUUUGAAAGAAUGUUCGACAAAAAAAUCAUUGCUAUACGGACUGGAGGUAAGUAUCAAAAACUCCACACCUUUUUUGAUAAAGUCGGCAUCUCCCAUCAUAUUUCAUGUCCCUAUGCGCAUCAAUAGAAUGGUGCAAUAGAAUGCAAGCAUCGUCAUAUUGUAGAAGUUGGCUUAUCCCUUCUUGCCCAUGCAUCUAUGCCUUUGAAAUUUUAGGACGAAGCCUUCCUAUUAGGUACAUAUCUCAUAAAUCGAGUUUCUAGCAAAGUUAUUCACCAUGAAACACCUUUAGAACGUCUCUUUGAUCAAAAACUAGAUUAUUCUUCCCUUAGAACCUUUGGGUGUGCAUGCUGGCCCAAUCUUAGACCAUACAACAAGCACAAACUCGAAUUCAGAUCUAAGUAGUGUGCCUUCCUUGGGUACAGUCAACAUCAUAAAGCGUUCAAGUGUCUUGACAUAGCAUCAGGUCGAGUUUAUAUCUCCAGAGACGUCGUCUUUGAUGAGAUGGAAUUUCCCUUCUCCAAACUGCAUGAGAACGUAGGAGCUCGUUUACGCUCUGAAAUCUCCCUCCUUCCCUCCCAUCUUCUCAAUCCUUCUGUUGGGGUGGAACAUAUAGGUGACCACUUGUCUGAUUCUCCUAAUACUACAAAUGAUUCUGGUGAAAUUUGUGAAGAACAUGCUGCACGAAAUAACAGCAACAGAGCUGGUCCAAGCACAGCACACAAAGCUGAUUUAGCGCCGCUUCCAACUGACCAGGCCUCGGGAUCGCCAGGCGUAUCCGCGUGCAAUUCUGCACGUGAGUCCACUCCCACCACGUCACCCCCGAUCGCGCUUGACUCAUCCCUACCUACGCCUGCUCCCGCCUCUCCUCCUGGGCGCCAGUCCGUGCCCGCCAUGUCGGCAUCGCCACACGCUCUGCUCUAGUUGGGCGUGCUGGAGGGGCAUAAUGGCGCCAAUGAUAGUGCCAAUGAUGGCACCAAUGAUGCAGAUGGCAGGUGCAACGGUGAACCUAGAUCUUCUGCACCGAUGGAAGCUGCUGACUCUCCUGUUGAGUCCUCUGAUUGUCCAGUUCCGUCUACACCUAUGCGUCCUACUACCCGUCUACAACGUGGCAUCCGCAAGGAGAAGGUAUACACUGAUGGCACUAUUAAAUAUGGAUUUUUUACAUCAUCUGGUGAGCCGCAUAAUGUUAGUGAAGCUAUGACAAGUGCACAUUGGAAAGCUGCUAUGGAUGACGAAUGUAUGGCACUAAUGAAGAAUAAAACAUGGCAUCUAGUUCCAUCUAAGAAGGGUGUUAAAUGUUAUUGAUUGCAAAUGGGUAUAUAAAAUCAAAAGAAAAGCUGAUGAAAGUUUGGAUAGACAUAAAACCAGACUGGUUGCUAAGGGUUUCAAGCGAAUGUAUGGCAUUGACUAUGAAGAUACUUUUAGUCCUGUUGUUAAACCAGCCACUAUCAGGAUUGUUUUGUCUAUUGUUGUAUCUAGAGGAUGGACCCUCCAUCAACUUGAUGUACAUAAUGCUUUCCUUCAUGGUGUUUUGGAGGAAGAGGUUUACAUCAGACAACCUCCUGGCUAUGAGGACAAAUCUCUGCCUGGUUAUAUAUGCAAAUUAGAUAAAGCAUUGUACGGUCUAAAGCAAGCACCUAGAGCAUGGUACUCCAGGUUAAGUACAAAGCUACAUGAGCUGGGGUUCAAGUCAUCAAAGGUAGACACAUCCUUAUUCUUCUAUAAUAAAGGGGGAGUUAUUGUCUUCAUACUUGUUUAUGUAGAUGAUAUCAUUGUUGCUAGUUCAAGACAGGAGGUUGUGUCGGUUCUAUUAAAGAAUCUCAAUAAGGAUUUCACACUAAAAGAUCUUGGAAAGCUUCAUUACUUCCUCGGCAUAGAAGUGAAUCAGAUCCAUAAUGGAAUUAUAUUGACACAAGAGAAGUAUACGAAUGAUUUGUUACAACAAGUUGGUAUGAAAGAUUGCAAACCAGUUGCUACUCCAUUAUAUACCUCAGAGAAGUUGUCUCUUCAUGAAGGUAAUUUGUUUGGACCGAAUGAUGCCACAAAUUAUAGGAGUGUUGUAGGAGCUUUACAGUAUCUGACUUUGACUAGACCUGAUAUAUCAUAUUCUGUUGAUAAAGUCUAUCAGUUUCUACAUGCACCUAAUAUUGUGCAUUGGAUGGCGGUCAAGAGAAUUCUUAGAUAUCUUAAGCACACGGUCAAGCUUGGUUUAAAGAUUUGCAAGUCUUCUUCUUUGUUGGUGAGUGCUUUCUCAUAUGCUGAUUGGGCAGGGUGCCUAGAUGACAGACGAUCUACUAGAGGAUUUGCAGUAUUCUUGGGGACGAAUCUAGUUUCUUGGAGUGCUCGAAUACAAGCAACUGUGUCAAGGUCUAGCACUGAAGCGGAAUAUAAAGCAAUAGCUAAUGCGACUGCAGAAACAAUGUGGAUACAGACUUUGUUGUAUGAAUUGGGCAUAGAUGUGCCGAGGAUAGCCAAGCUUUGGUGUGACAAUAUUGGAGCUAAGUAUCUUUCUGCGAAUCUAGUCUUCCAUGCUAGAACUAAACAUAUAGAAGUCGAUUAUUACUUUGUAAGAGAAAGGGCGGCUAAGAAACUACUUGAUAUCGAGUAUAUAUCUACAAAGGAGCAGGUGGCUGAUGGUUUCACAAAGCCAUUGACGAUGCGGCAGCAGGAGUUGUUCAAGAACAAUCUGAACCUAGAACGGUUGAGGGGGAGUGUUAGAGAUGAAGAGUUUGGUUGUAAUUGGAAUAGGAUAUCUGGAAGAUUAUCUUUGGCCGGCUGCUAUUCUAGUUGUAACAGAUAUGUAUUUGUAAAUUAGUUUAGCCAAAGGUAUAUACUAAAGAGGUCCUAUAUAUUGUAAUUUCCUGUGUGCUAUUUUGCACAAUAUUAUAACACGCAACCGUUGCACCCUUAAGGUUGGGGCAACGUUCCACGCAGUGCAAGUGCCUCUGUUAUCUUUCAGGGAAGACCUACCAGUCUCUGGCGAAAUCAGUCAGUCUCCUUGUAUUGUUUGCAUUGGCUUGUAGUCCCUCAGUCCAAAAUUACUAUUUUUUUUGGCAUUUGUAGGUACAUAUUUUGAGACGGAAGGAGUAGGUUGGUAGUACAGAGAUUUCUUAUAAUUUUCCGGUCUCCCCUUGGACGUUGAUUGACGCGAACAUGCAUCUGGAAUGCAGCGUCUAAUAUCAGGUCCAAACUGCUACUCAAUCGUUCUAAUAUCAGGUCCAAACUGCUACUCAAUCGUUCACCGGGUAAAGACAUAAUGUGAAGACCGCAUCUAAGUCGUUCAAGGGCCACAGGUCGUCGGCGUUAUUCAAGUGUACGCAGAGACCUUGCUUUCAGGGGAACAUUCAGCUCCAAAUAAACAUGCCUUUCUCAGAGAACAUGUAUGGAAUUCCCAUAACAAUUUUGCAUAACAUUUCAUUCUUUACAACCUGAAGAGCAUAUAUCUUAGAAUACAGACACGUGUUACACAAGAACACAAUUAAAACACCUUCCACGUAUCUACAUAUACUUAAAUAUGCCACUGUUGCGACAAUAGAUGUCACGGAAAUUUUUAUCUUGCAAAUUCUAUGCAGUUAUCUGUCCAUAUUGAUUUCAUCUUGCAAACUCUAUGCUCAUCGAGGCUUUCUUCUGGAGGAUGUAAUAAUCUGUGCUUUCUUCACUAGUAUAGUCACCCGAUGAAUUGUCAGACGACCGUCCCUGCAUCAUGAGUGCACUAAC
RNAcentral lists this long non-coding RNA (67289 nucleotides) under Setaria italica (foxtail millet). Its description in RNAcentral is "long non-coding RNA (SITA_LNC005136)". The stretch from base 62355 to 62493 matches the Rfam family "Small nucleolar RNA Z247". The record is from RNAcentral. Lineage: Eukaryota; Viridiplantae; Streptophyta; Magnoliopsida; Poales; Poaceae.